UGCCGAGCGAGAGGAUGGUCUCCAGCAGCUCCAUUGAUUUCCUCUCCGUCUCCUCCACCGGCCUCCGACGCUCUCCGCUUCCCCCCGCUGCAGCACACAGAAUGGGCUUUAACAAAGACCUCAGCAGACACCCGCCGACCAUGACCGAUACCCAACCUCACUGCAGACCUCUUCGUCGAGCUGAAAGCCACCCCCCACCACAACCGGCGUUCUCCUCCUGCCUCUGACAUUUGACUCGACACGAAUUACUAAGGUCUAUCCAUUAUUUCUACUUUUGGUGUGUUGCUUUUUUUGUGUGCGCUCAAGCCUGGGCCUAUUAGGCUGCAGCUGAUUCCACUGCAAUAAAAUCCAGCUACAAACUCAAGAGACUCCACAGAAUAUAUAUAUAUGAAUGUUCUCAUUGCAGGGUGGUAAGAGGAACACAACAUUUUACCUUAUAUAAGAUUUUAAGGUCGAAAAAGGUCCUUGUGCGCUGAGUUGAGAUCAGGCCUCUUGCUUUUCAGGUAGGAAGAUACUAUAUAAAGCUACUUUUCAAAGAGUGAAUGCCUGUUAUUGUUGUUUGUGAUUGUGUACUUGAGGGUGACUUUCAUUCUGUAUUUCAUUUCCCCUGUGACCCAUGGAGUCAUGUAUUUUGAACAAAAAAAAGCAUUUUUCUUCUUCUGAGGGUAAUAAGUGGCUUUUGAGCAAAAAAAAAAAAAAAAAAACUCCCAUGUUUUUUUUUUAAAGUGGCAUUUCAAAAAGGUUCUCCAAACCAAAUGACCAGAUUGGUUUGCCACUUCCAACAUGACUCAGAGGGAUGUGUCAUAAACUAAAUCACUACUAAAUCAGUUUGAAUACACACUCCAAAUUGUGCAGCACCCAUGAGUAGUAAGACAGAGCUUUAUAAGCUGCAAAGAAGACAGUGUCUUCAAACAAAGUGCCUCGAUAAGAUAUGGGAAAGUACUUAAAUAUAACUCCAAGAGAAAGAAAUAGAGCUGUCAGCAUUAUGGUGUUAUCAUUCUGGGAUGAAGCUCAUUGUUAUGUUUUUAAAUUCAUGCUGGUUUGUUUCAGCUGAUCAGCCAAAAGUAUUAUGCACUUUGCAGCAAAAAGAUUGAAAAUCUCACAGAGGUACUCCGAUUUUGAGCUAAGUAUGCAGGUUGCCAUUGGUUCUGUUCUGGACAAGAAAGGAUGGCGAAGUCGAAACUCCGGUGUGGUGGUUUUUAUUCACACAAACUCCCCAAAAACAGCAAACUGUGGCAAAAUAUUUAGAGUCUAGGAUAACAACAGCAAAACAAGGCAAAUAAACAAAGUAUGAACAGCAGAAUCUCAGUAAAACUUACACUUGUACACUUAUAACCCACAAUGCCACAAGGUAAAGAGCUCCCCUUAGAGCACACCUGGGCAUUUUAUGGCCCGUGGGCCACAUUUGGCCCUUUUGAUGUCAUAUCAUCAACAUGCUAUACAAGUGUGUUGCUCUUAUUUUGAAAAACUAGUCAUUGCUUUAUUUCCGUUUGGACGCACAUAUGUACAUCCUAGAUCUGCGUUCGUGAACAGAGACAAGUUUAAUCAUUAGCAAAAUAUUCAUAGACACCUUAUAGUUGCCAAGUCCACUUAUUAUUAAAGACUUUAAGCUUGUUUCUUUUAGAAGUCGCGCAUAAAACUCGUGCGUUUUUUUGGGGCUUGUUUUUAACUAGUAGUUGCUUAUUUGCGGUUGCUUUUCUGAACCCCCCCGAUUUGAAGUUGAAGUUACUGUUGGUUUGGUGCUCCAACACAGUUCAGGUUUCUCAUGUGGCCCCAUGUAAAAAUUAAUUGCCCACCCCUGCCUUAUAGUGAGCAAGCAAAGUGCUUAUUAGGUACCCCUUAGCCCCUCCCCUCGGCCCACCCAUAAACAAAUUAUGGGGGUUUAAGAGACAAUAUGCAAAAUGCAACACAAAAGUCAUCAAUAAAUCAAACUUUUCAAUAUUGACAAAAAGGCACUAAUAGGCCUCCAUACAGCUGUGGCCUUACUCAUUGAAAACACAGGAAAUCAGACAAAAUAUCACAAAGGAACUAUGAUGGUUUGGUCCGGCGCGCCAACUCGCGCCAUUUACUGAGGGACCAGGAAGUGUCCCGGUUUGGUUUGGACUGGAUGAUGGCAGCAGGUAAGAGGGUGUGUGUGUGUAUCUGGCGUGUAGUAGUUGCGUGUGCACCUUUAAACACCUACAGCGGGGAGAAACGAGUCCAGGUAAAAGGGGAAACGGUUUUUUGGAGUGCAGGACCGCGAGACACAGGUGCGAGCCUGCAGGGAAACAAUAAAACAGUUUAACGGGGCUUGGCUCCGCCGGGAACACUCCCGGCACCGGCACUCUCAGGCCGCGAGAGAGAGACCCGCGCCAGUCGGGGGAUGACAGUGCGUUUUAAUGACGCUCCGUCACACAUGUGAUCUCCUAAAAAUGUUAAAACAAACACAACGAGCACUUUACAGCGGUAUCCUGCCUCAAAUGCAGUGUUUUAGACCACACUGGUGCAUAGUGUAGUGUCUAUUUUGAGACCAGAUCUUAAGGUAGAUAUAAAAUAUUGGUCACUUUAUGGGGAGAAGAUGUUGAGUUCCCCGGAGCAGGUUGAACGUUACAAAAAUUUUUUUAUCCAAACAUUAAGUAUUUGUAAAGAACAGUAUUUGUAGAAUGUGUACUGCGUUUCAUUGGUGCUGCCUCUAUCUAUCUAUCUAUCUAUCUAUCGAUCUAUCGAUCUAUCUAUCUCUGUAUGCUGUGAUGGCAUGGGUAACAGAUUGAUUGAUAUGUGUUGUUUUUCUGUGUACUGUAUUAGUAAUUAGGGUAAUUGAUUGACUGAUUGAUUAUUGACUGUUGUUUGAUUGAUUGAUUUUUAUGCUGCUGUGUACUGUAACAGUACAGGUAAUUGAUCCGUUGACAUAGGGCUGGACAAUAUUGGAAAAGAUUUAUCACAAUACAUUUUUUUCAUAUCAGUCAAUAUCGAUAUCACAAUGUAAAAAAAUGAAAUUUAACAGUGCUUAUUGGUGGCAUGUCUUUUGCAAUACAAUAAGCUGCUGCAUCUGUGGAGUCUGUGUGUCUCUAUGACAUUUUGUCAUAAGGCGUUGCGCUUGAGACAUGGCAGAAUGCCUGUUAGAAAGCCCAUGUUGUUUAGGUGUUUUCUAGUAAAUACUGUUCAGUCAUAUUGUGUUUUACAGUGAGUUUUCAUUUGUCCUAUGCCCAUGAAUGCACCACAGGCAUUCUUAUGUGAACAAGAAGAGAGAACGCCCUUUUCUCUUUUUUAAUGCGGACUACCGAAAAAGUAUAUUGACCAUGUUUUAUAUUUAUAUUGAGAAAAAUUAAUUUUCGAUGUAUAUCAUUAUUGUUUCAUCGCCCAUUAUUGUUUGCUGGUAUGGGUGACUGAUACUUGUUGCUGCUGUGUACUUGUCUUGCAUGUGUGAUGUGUGUCAUCUGGUGCGACAACUCAAUGUUUCUGUUCUUUUAUUUAUACACUGCAGACUAUUUGACAAAUUUCUCUACAAGGACAAUUAAAAGUAUCUGAAAUGAAAUGAAAUUUAUCGUGUUAGUUCAGGUACAUCAGCUGAUCCUAAUGGUAGCGCAUAUCGGCUAACACCUUAAUUGAGUACUUUUAAUAAUUCCGUUUAUCAAAAGUUCAAGUAGGUGCUUUGUUCAAACUGCCUCAGCCGCAUUAUCCUACCUGCCUCCGCUUUAAACUGCUUUGAAACCCGCCUCAGUUACAGCUCCUUCUUUUUAUGCUGUCUGAAUUUACUAGUGUAUUUGAUUCUGUACCACUGUGCUCUUUGCUGCUGCUCUUCCUGCCUCGGCUUUUCAUGCAUGUGCAUCAAACAGAGAGGGGGUGUGCUCUGACUGAUAAGUCUUCUACCUCGGUUGUUUUAUCUGUUGCAGUGUCUACAUUGGCUUUUUAUGAAUGAAAGGCAGGGGAGGUGCACAUUUUCCAAACUUAGAGAAAACUUGUAGAAUUUGAAGCAUCAGACAGUCGGUACAUGUUGUUGCAUUAGACUCCCUAAUCAAGAUUAUAAGUGAAAAACUGAACACUUUUUAUAUGGAUUUGAAACUAUUGUGAAAUGUAAAUAGCAUACUUCUGAAUCUGUGCAAGUAGUUGAAAUAAACUAUCAAAAUACACCAAUAAAUAAAUAAACUGUAAAAACAAACUUUUUUUUUAAUGUAUAAAAUUUAACUCUCUGCACACCAAAGGUAGCUAAAGGCCUGAAUUUCACAAUGAUUAGGAACAAUGUUAUGAUAAAUGGAAGUGGCUCUGAAACAGUACACAUACCGUAAGAUUUGUCUCCUCAUUAACCCCCUCCCCCUUUGUCUUUGUUCCAUAAAGAAAACAUGUCUCCAUUAUAAGAAAAAAGAAAAAAAACAUGUUGGCUGUUGUGUAUGAAUCAACAGCAAUUAGCCCACACCACGCCUUGGGUGGGCCAUCUGCUGCACCAGUAUCACACACAAACAGGUGGGCCCCCACCGCCUCGCUGAUCGCUGUGUCGAACACCACCACGACAGCGUAGUGAUUAAUAGGAGCUCCUAAAUAUCUUGCCGUGCAGAGAACGUACGGUGCACGUUUCACAAAGACAUACUUCUUCUUCCACAGCACACACUCAGGCCCACAUUUUUUAAUUAGUGAUUUUAACUGAAGUCAUAGUGCAGGCUAAUUGCUGGUAAUAAUGAUAUUCGAUUAGGGAAUCAAUUGGCUGUGGUGCCUUGACUGCUUUGAUGGAUGCAGCCUUGGGCAGCAGCUGUGAAAAGCUCACAUAGUGACGGUAAAAAGACAGAAGAGGAACAAAACGUCUGAACACAGAACAAAGACGGAAGAAAAACCUCUGCAGGGAAACAAUGAGUAACAAGGAACACUGGUGAGAGCUCAGGUAUGACUCGAAAUAUAGACUCACUAACUCUUUGCUGUCAAAGCCCGAAAGCUUUUUGAUAGAUUUCCAGAUCCUGAAAAACUUCCAUCUGUGCCACUGGCAUCGUCUUAACAGCAGCCAGAGUGUGAGUGUGAGUGCGUGUGUGUGCGAGUGUGUGUCAGUGUCAGUGUGUGAAGUCAGAGGAGCCAACAGUAUUGAACAGCCUGCAUCGAUUCCCAAUGUCAAGUCCAAACAGUGUACAAGAGUGGGCUUGUUGUCCACAUCUGUGUGUGUUCUCGUGUAAAAGAAUGUGUGUGUGUGUGAUUGUUGCAUGUUGGUGUGCACGUGGAGAGUGCUCAUAAUCUGCCUCUCAGAAGUUCAAUGAUCCAUUCUGGCUCCGCUCUGCAGCUUCAAAAUGUGGUUUUGUAAAAGUUUCCAGGAACAAAUUCGGCUUAGGGCUUAGGCUUGUUCAGAUUUUUCUUUCAUUUUUUCGAAUUUCCAUUGAAAUGUUUUGCGAAGAGAGAAAACAAUCUCUAACAGAACGAGGACCAAACUUUUCUAUUUGAAGAAGCAUCUGCUGAUUAAUUGUUUGAUUAACUGUCUUUUUUUUUGGUGUAUAAAAGGUAAGAUAGCAAAAUGCUCGUCAAAAGAGCCCACUUAACCGUCCCAAAUCCACCCAAAUACUCAAUUUACUAUUAUCAACAAAGAAAAGCAGAAACUCUUUACACUGAAGAGACAGAAAUCAGUUUGACAUUUCUGGUUAUAAUUGUGUUCUUGUAAUUAACAUCAGUAAUAAACUACAAUUUCAGCUGCAUGCGGCAAUAAAUGGGCCCUUGCAGCAGUUAUCUGGUCCUCUGAGCAUGAACCAAAAGUAUAAAGCUCUUACAGUUCUGCAGUUCCCCACUAAGUUGGGCCAUAAGGUUGAACAAGUAUUGAUGUUUAGGAAUCUUUAUGAUGGCACAUUAAUAAAGAUUAAAGGGAUAUUCCGGCAUAAAAUUAAUUUAGGGUCAAACGCACUGUAACACAGAGUUAGACACCCCCUCCAGAGAUGAAUGUUGCCGACAGCUUGCUUCUCUCGUUAUACCAACUUUAGUAACGAUAGCAAUACACAGCGGUCUGAGGAGCCAUAAACAAACCUCAACCAAAACACCACUGUAUAGCCACAAAUAAUGCUCAGAACAGCACCUAACUUCAUCAACAGUACAUAUAGGGUCCCAGCCACAGCACUAGCCAUCAAUCAUCUUUUUAGCUUUGCUUAAUUUGUUUAGCAAAGAGAUUAAACACAACUCACCUACUCUCUUCCAGCAGCCGCUUGUUUGUAGCGAGACCUCAGGCCAGUCUAUUACAGACAACAGCGGGGUGACGCAGCUCAAGGAAGAACAUUUAUGAUCAUUUCUUCAUGGAAAUGCAAUCAGACUAAGACGCAAAGGCAGAAGAACUACCGCGUCUGCAGUGCAACAUGAUUAAUAUGGUGAUUAUUACUUCAAGGAAAUGAUUAAGAAAGGCUUAUUAAGUAGCGUACAUGAGUAUUAAAACGACUUUUGUCCAAUAGAUGGCAUUCUUACUAUGACAGAAUAAAUAUCCGUUUGUAGAUGAGUUCAGGCUGAGACUAUCAUCAAACCUGUAAAAUUUGGAUCCAAUUGGACCUCGUAUGUUAAAGUUAGUACCAUGUGUUCCCACAAGGUGGCCCUGUUCUGUAUUGAUGUGUUAAGGUUCGGACCUUGGUCAUGCUCAUGUCAUUUUAAACAGAUUGGACGCUGUAUGAAACUAAGUUCUUGUUUCAUCUGAUAACUUUUAGUAAUGGCUGUGGCUGCAAUACACCGACCACAGUUGGAGAUGAUCUGAGGGCAAGUUCGAUCAAACACACACCUUGUAAAUUUAACAAAAAUUUCUGGACUCUCUGUUGAGAUACAAAGAUGAAUCCAAGAGUAUUUUGGUUGAACUCAGUGGUGACAGGGGUGCUGUGAAGACACGAAUUUCGUAAAACAUAAAAUAUCAAGUUUACACCAGACAUGAUUUGUGUGUGAAGUUUGAUACGUUUCAGGGAAUGUCAUACCGCCCCAGACAGGUUUUUUUUAGGGAAAUUAAAAAAGAAUUACCAAUCUUUUAUCUGUUCACAGCUGAAACUUCACAUUAUCAGGGUGAAAUCUAUUUUGGGAGUAAAGACUUGAAUCAAAAUGUGCCAGAAAUCAAACAACACUGAGACGAGAAAUGAAAAGAAAACAGGAACGACACGAUUCAGCUGACAUCAUUGUCUUUUUGGCAAAGAUCUUGGUGUUGAGAUUGCCAAAAGUGAUGCUUCUGGUAUUCUUUUGAUUUGAUUCUGGCUUAUUUCUCACUCAAGAUGCUUUUUGCAGAUUUUCCCUCUCAUUGAGGGACUGAACUUGUCAAGAUAACGAGGGGAAAAAAAAUCCUCAUUCUCACGAUAAACAAGUACUUUAGGAGUUUUUAACCACAUUUACGUCAGUCUUUAUCUAAAUUGAUUUUGUAAUUUAAUCACGCUCAUCUCUGACUGUAGGUAAAACUGAAUGGUUAGUUUGUCUGACGGUCCCCGGGGCCGCCCUUAGGCCAUCUCAUACACUCAGCACACGUUAAUCCACCUGACAGUUUGACAGCGCAGCGUUUAUUUAUAGAGCCGAACAGCAGCUCUGCAUGUUUUAGCGAGAUGGAGCGCGAGAUGGAGAGGGCUGCGGUGUGAAUGUACAGCAGUGUUUGACCCCCCUCACAGGUAGCUGACCCUCUGCUUGUCUCUCUGCCUGUUUAUUACCGAACCACUGAGACAGAAUUCACAUCCUGUCUAAUUACAUAACCUCCUACCCCCCCGCUGUCACAGAUGUGGUCUCAGCAUGUGCAGAUCCCUUAUAUACUGUCAUCAUCAUCUCAAGCAAAUAAAAUAACCGCUCGUGGAUUUACAUUUCCAUACAGCACCUGUAGCUCCGUGCCUCACCGCUGUAAUUGAAUCAGCUGGGAGAAUAUGCAGAGCUACAGCCAGGCCACGAGAUUCAUCAGAGAGUGGCGGUAAUGACUGCCUCCUCUCUGAAAACGGGUGUUUGGUUCAAGUCAAACUGGUUUGUUUCUGCGUGACUGAAGAGUUAUACGGCUACUUUAUUUUUCUCUUGUCUAUGAUUUUGUUGGACCCAUUUGACCAAGGAUGGAGAUCUCAUACUCUGUUCAGGCAAGGAGUGUCCUGAUACAACUUUUUUUUACUUCUGAUACGAUACCGAUAAUGUCGCCUUCAGUAUUGGCCGAUACUGAUAUUGCUCUGAUAUUGGCACAAAAUUGUGCAUGACACGUUUUGCAUCAGCUGCAACGUCUUUUUUUGGACUUGAACAAAAAUACUGCCACACGGCCAACAUCACUCCUACUUCUUGCUGCUUAGUUAGUACCUUCAUACACACUGUUGUUGUGAUUACGUGGGCCCUGCAUGCUGGAUCUGGGCGGUGCUAGAUGGAGGUUCUGGAGUGGAGUCUGGAAUGGACUGCUUUUAUUGGAGUGAUGAUUUCAGACAUAAUCCAAUAUUCGUUUUGUUGCUGAUAUCAGGCAGAGGUCCGAUAAUAUCGGAUCGCAAAAUCCUUAGCUAAGGCUGUCACAUUUUUUCCAAAAUUUGAACCCUUAUCUGAACUCUGGUGGAAGAAGUUUAUAUCCAAACUGUUAUGAGGCAUUCAAACUCAUAGUAAUCCAAUUUACUGGCACAUCAGGCCUCAGAGGACUAUGUCAGGCACAAUCAAGCGGACAAUCACGACACUGAAAUGUCUGCAACUUGUAGCCCUUCGAUGCCCGAAACCACAAAUUAUGGCAGAAAAAUCCAUUUUUUGGGGGGGAGUCGAAACGUUUAUUUCACUUCAUACUGAAAAUCCAAAAAAAUCAAAAUGUCCUUAAAAUUUAACAAAUACAUAUUUUUUUUAAUCUAGUUUGAUAUAUUAGAUGUUUUUGGAAACUGAUGAACUAUAAGAGGACAUUUUUAUCAUUUAUCGGACUGUAUUCAGUUGUUUUUUUUUUCUUGUAAUUUGUGGAUCGUAUUUAUUUGAUAUAUAAAAGUAUGUAUCAAAUAUGAUACAAAAAGCAUUAAAGGGUUAAGUCUAGACAAAUUUUUUUUCUGCAUGUCUGUAAAAACUUCUCAACCUGUAUGUCUGCGUCCAUAGUGGCACCUGUGUCCGGCCUACAGCUGCAUCUACUGGCCAAGCGUUUCAGCGUGUUGAUUUCCAGUGACACAUGAUUUCAACUCCAAACAUAUUGUUUUACCCUGACAUGUUUCUGAGAACUUUAUGAAAAGUUGUUCAAUCCCUCCUCCAGCAGACACAACCAUUUUCUAAAAACUUUUUUAAUGCUUAAUCAUUAAGAGAAAUGCCGGCUGUUAUUUGUCACAGCUUCAUAGACAUUGUGUCUGUUGCUGUUUCUUUUAUUUGGUCCACCCUCUGUAGUUGUUUACCACACUUGCUUUCAUUUAUGUUGUCAUAUCAAAGCGUAUCAAAUUUUACAUUCUAUUUAUCAGCAGCUUCCCCCUAACUCGUAUUUCACGGACCUCCCACUGCUCAUCCCACCAAGUGAACUCUGCAUCAUUCACCCUCAGCAUGUGGUGGCUGUGAGACGUAGAGAUACAUUCAGCAACAUCAUUAACAACAGCUGUUCAGAAAAAAAAGGAACAAAAUGUGAAAACAGGAGGCAGGGUUGAGAUGUAAAGGGAAACAGCUCCAUCAGCUUGAAUUACUGAGUUUCAACUGACUGCGAGGACGAUGUGCAGGAUGCUUCACGAACCUGGUAAAAUGUCAGAAGUGUCAGUUUGGUGUGACUGUUGAUCACAGCUAAUGUGGUAUGACAGAGGGUGAGAUUUCUAUGUAUCUUAUAGAUUAUCUUACGGUCAUUUCUGAGGAUCGUUAUUGCAGGAAAAUCAUGAUGAUGUUGCUUUGAGUUAACAGAAACAGCCUGCUUUACAAGUCAAUACUGCUUGUUUAUUGUUUGAUAGAAAUAACAGGCACAAAAUCACUCAUUCAGCAAGAGCAGAUUCUGGUACUGGAUGACAUUUGUCAAACAACUUUUUAAUGUGGACACUAAAAUUUCAUUGUUACACAAGAAAAAAUCAUCUCAUGGUCUGACACAUGUCCUCAGUAGGUGUUAGAUUGAGACUGCAGGCCAGUUCAGCACCAGGACUCUUCUACUACUGAGCCAUGCUGUUGUUAUACAUGCAAUAUCUGAAGUUAUGUCUGGAUGGCAGUAUAUGCUGUUCAAAACGUGUAUUGUCAAGUAUUAAAAGUGCGUUCCAUGGUUUCCAAAAAUAAUUUCAAACUGUGAUUUGUCCGUACUUGACAGUUUUCUACUGCACCUUAGUCAGUCUCUCUUUGGACUUGUUUCCAGCCAUUCUGGGUCAUGUUUGUAUCUGCUCUCUUCCAGGAUUUUGACCCUGUGCAUUGAUCUCCACUACAGAGUUGUGUCAGAUCUUACAGCAAUCUAGGGUUGGGUUAUUUUGAACAAUUCCGGUCCUGAUUCCGGGAGAAUCGAAUGUUAGUCCCGGUCCCCAUCAAUGCACGAAACUCAAUGCCCAACCCUACAGCUGUCCCGCUUGAGGGCUUUAAGAUCACGUCCAUCCGGUGUUGGUUUUCAUUCUUGUCCUUUUUGAGCAGAGAUUUCUCCAGAUUCCUGAGUCUCUUAAUGAUGUUAUGUACUGCUCGGGCCUUUUCUUCUCUUAGUGCCUUUAAACUGUGGAAUCCUCUUCUUUCCACCAUCUGAGUUCCCCAUCUGUUGAGGUUUUCGAAAGUUUUCUAUAAACACACUUUUACUCUUUAACUUUUAAUUGCCCCUAGCUUAAGUGUCUCAGAUGUUUUCAUCAGGUCUUUUAUGCCUCUGCAAAUAUUUUGGUACCUCAGCCUAUUAAACUGCAAGUCCUUUUGGUGCCUGGACUUCACCACACUGCAGCUAUUUCAGACUUUAUACAACAUUCUUAUUAUUGCUGCAUGUAGAUGACUUAUCGUGUAUGAACCAAACUUCAUUUUGAAAGUCUGUAAGGUUGCUGAUCUGUUAUUGCUCAACUGAUUGCAAACCGUUGCAUGUGCAAAACUGACACUUGAGAGGAACCCACAUGGUGUCAUUUUGAGCUAGAUGUGAAGCUACUAAACUUGAGAUUGUAGAGAGAUUAUCUUGUCCCAAACGCAAGAUUAAGAGGCUUUGUUUUUGAGUUGAUUCUGUCAAUUUGGUCUGUUGCUGUUGUCAGAUUUCAUCAUAGAAGAAGCUGUUAAAUUUUUAGCAGCACCAGCUGAUGAAUCAAUGGAGCACUUUCUAUACCCUCAAUAUCACCCUAGUUCCUUUUCUUUAUCCUCUCUUCAUUUAGGAGGCUCUGUACAGUUCGCCCACCGUCUCACUGCCACAUCAGUCUGGUGAUAAUAUGAGAUGACAGCUGCAACCCAACGCAACCCCUGUAUAUGCUGGAGACACCGAAGAGGACGGCGCAAAGCUGGAAAAAAAAUAAUCACAUCUCCAAUCUUACUCCAUCAUUUCCAAUCCAUCUGUAAACAGAAAACAAUCAAAUGACAGGUCCUGGAGUGAUCAGGGUUCAGGGUAAACUCCAAAUACCCCCUUCCCUCCAAACAAACAUCAUGCUUAUUGCCUUGUGUCUUGACCUGAGCUUUUCAGGAAACCAUAGACAGCCACACAGUACUACUCUCUACUUUUAAUACCUCUAUUUAAAUUAUAUAUCUAGGCUUUUACAGGUCACUCAGCAUUAAUUUUAGCAAAGGUGGGUCCCCUCUGAGCUUACAGUCUAAAUGUAAUUAUAUGAUGCAAUAUAUUCUGUGAUGGGUGUAUAAUCAAACUAAUAUACUGAAGGGUGAUGAAGUGAGUAUGACUCACCUAACCUCUUCCACACAGUGUCAUAAUGACGUCCAUCAGAAAAAUGUUCCCUUGGCGUGUCUUAUGUUGAGAAUGAAUGGAAAACAAGGAACGACUUUGAUUAGAAAGCUCCUCCAUUGCAAUCAUUCAGCCCGUUUAAUGUUUUGGUUAUUGCGUGCUAGCUCCAUGUUUCAAUAUAUUCUUUGUCUGUUUGUGACUUUUGACCUUUCUAACCAAGCCAACCAGCCAGUCUUUGGUUGAAAAACAUCCCAAUUUUAAAGAUCAAAUGUCAUUGCAGUUUCAGCUCCUCUCAAAUGGAAAAAUUAAUAAUUUGACCAAUUCAGUUAACUUCGGGGGCACCAAUGUUGUUUGGUCUGGACUUUCAAACUUUUUGUAGACAGAUAUGACAACCCCCCUGGACCUUGGUCCAACCAAAGGAGGUGGUCUCAUUCCGAACCAAACUGAACCAUGGUCUUGUUCAUGCCCAGAAUAAAAGCAUUAUUUUGAAAGGUUCAGACCUUUUUACCAAAGACAGGAAAAGAUGCAAGAAGUGAAAGAGUCUGUUAGUAUGUUGACUGGAGAUUGUCCUAGAACAGGAAUCUUUAUAAUAUUGUAGAUAAAUACCUCACUAUUGACAGCUUAUCUUUUACAACAUAGACUUUCUCUCCUGAGUCAGUGUUGCAGUGGCUCACAGGAUUGCAUAUUUUCUUCUUCUUUCCUGUUGAUGAUAAAGGUGUCGUCUUAUGAUAGCCAUAAGAUGAACUCAGACCAGCCUCAUGUACAGCACUUUAAGUUGUCACUGUGGGUAGUAGAAAAUCAACAAUAAUAUGAUGGUGUUUACAUGUUUACAACAUGAAAGACCCGCAUUAUGCAACAUGUUGAUAUAAGAAGCCCACCGGCAAAAUGACCAAUCAGCGUAAACUACAGAGACACGUAAAGCAUGUUGUUGAUGACGAUAUCGUGUAGGUUUGUCAUGUAAAGUCUGUUAGUCUGUUUGCAAUAAUGGCUGUGAAACAGACUGAAGCAAAUGUAUUGAAAUAAACACCAACCUGGUCUGGACCUUGGUCCGGACACCCUUAGCUAUCAUCUAUCGUCCAAUAUCCAACUAACAGUUUUCUGUGACUCAAACCUCUUUGAGAAGACAAUGACCGUUUUACAUGCUUUUAUUUUGGUAUUUUUUCUGUCUCGCAUGCUUUAUGGAAAAACUACUUUAAUUUUUGGUUGAAGCAGUGCACAACAUCAGGUAGACUGUGAAUUGCAGAACUGAAUGAAAACACUUAAAAGAAUUGUUAGAAAGUAUAAAUAUUAAAUUGAUCUGUAACCCAUAGAGGUACAAGCUCUCACAUUGGUUGAAGAUUUUCCCUAAAUCUUGGAAUUUUAGUUUUUAAAAGUGCUGGGUUAUUUCUGAGAGGGCCGCUACAGCUAGUUUGCAAGCAGCUGAGGGUAUUAAGGGUAUAAUAUGUUCGCAUGUCUCAUAGAUGUAUAAUAUUCCAGUUUUCAAAUGAUAUUAGACCCUAAUUACACUUAAAAAAUGUGUCAAAUGAUCCUUACAUUGGCCCAAAAAGAUUACAGCAGCCCCAAAAACUUAAUUUAGGAAGUAAUGGUUCUAUAUUGCGGCGAAACCUGCGCUCAAACACACAUUCACACUCUGUUCCACUGCUUUUCUCUUUUACAGUCAAUUCCCUGUGCUUCCAGUCAAAUAAUUUCACUCUCAUUAUACAGGACCAACAGUUUUUAAGGAGCAAACCUUGGCGAAAUUAUUAUUACUGCUCAUAAUUGGAUGAGGAAUGAAAUGUUCUUGGAAAUGUGAUGGUCAGAGAAAGCAUCCCUCGCCACUUUCUCUCUUAAACACCCCUCAUUCAGUCUCUCCCACCCUGCCAUUACCUCAAUCGCUCACCUUUUUCCUCUCUCUCUCUCCAACUCUCUCCCCCUCAUCCACCCUCUGAUGCUCCCCCUCCCACUUCCUCCUCCGAGCAUUAGAUGAGUGCGGUGGUCUAAUUGCUUUCUUCAGGGAGAGAAUUAGCAUGAGCUGUCCUGAGUGCUCUGGUCUAAUGCAUAAAGAACAGGCAGCAAAGGCUCAAAAAUGGGGGGCCGGGGAGUCGGAGACACUCCUUCCAUUAGCCAAUCAGUCACACUUAAAAGAUUUUGGGGGGUGACUGAAAACCACAUCGAGUGGUCAUACUUUAAUAUGUGAACAACUGGAAUCUGCGUGUUGUAUGACUCGCUAAAUUUUGCACACCACUGAUAAGGGUUAGCAGGUGACUGCCAUCGCCAAAUCCUGCACCCUGAUGUUCAUUUUUAAUAGGAAUCCCCCCAAAUCCACACAGGACUCAUAUGAAUCUGCAUGUGCUGCUGUGUUCAAUUUCUCAAGCUACAGUGGACAAAAAAGAGUGCACAGUUUCAGCAUAAACCAAAGCUCAAUUACAGGUUGUCACGAAAAGUUACUCUUCAGUCACAAAGAUUUUAAUUGGCUGCAAUGGACCCAAUCUCAAUACUCCAAGCCUCAAUCCUAGGACCUGUGAUUACUUGUUUUGAUUCCAGUUUCGAUUACUUGUUUUGAUUCUUCUGCAGGGCAGGAUAAAAAAAAAAGCAUGGUCUUAAUGAGGGCGCUAACCAGAGUUCUUUUUGAACUUCUCCAUGAAUUUUUACAUUAUCUGAACGAUUAAUGAACUUUACUUUGAGUUUUUCAGAACGAUUUGUUUUGAAGCCUCAAUAUUAGCAGAAGACAGACGUAAUUUAUUGUUUCACGUAUCUGAUUUUGAUUGGUUAGAGGAUGACCGGCACAGUGCGUCAAAGACGGAGCAAUCAGGUAUUUCUAUUCCAUGAAUCCAGAGAUGUUUUUAAUCAUGUUGGUCGUACACCCUCCUUAGCACCAUAAAACUGUUAUGCAAAUGUUGCACUGAGAUGACAGUUCAUUCUUAAUGCUUAAGUUAAAACUUUUGACCACUGCCAAUGCAUGUAAACACUAUCUGUGGCUUCGGCGGCUAUUUUCAUGAACAUAGUGGCUAUUUCUCCCGGUCGGAGGACUUGGCAUCGAAACUUCAAAUCGAAAUGGUUCCGUGAGAAUUGGAAUAUAAGUCCCGGUUCCCAUCAAUGCUCGAGACUUGAUGCUGAACCCUACAUGCUAAUCAUGUUUUGUGUCCAAGCUGUAGGGCUGUCACCCGCAAAUAGCAGGAGCGGUAGCCCUGGUCAACUGUCAUUAGCUAUACUACUCAAAUAUAAUUAAGUAUUGUUGACAUGGCGUGGCUUUAGGGGUUUUAGGUUUGCCAACAUUAGCCAUAGUCUGCAAACCAUCUUACCGUGUUUUCUAGCGGUGUCUGAUUCAAGCGAUUUGAGAGUGUUGUGAGUAUAUUUUGCUUCAAUUUUGGUAAAUGAGAUGAUAGUUUCUAUGUAAUUUUCUUUCACAAGUCACACAAACUCAAUGCUGCCAAAGUUAGAAGUAUAACUAAGCUCAGUUAGUUCACUAUCAUUUUAACUCUAAGCUGACUUUGAGGUCCGUGAACUCAUAUGUGUCAGUCGCGUUAAGUGGCUUCAUAUUGUCUUGAAAUUCCCAGAUUAGAUUUCGUGUCCCAGUCUGUGUCAUCAUGUGUGUGUGCGUAACAGCGAGGCUGACAGCUGGAGGGGGAACAGCAGCGAAGACACCAGUACUCUGAAGAGUACAGAGCUGUUUGUUUUUAAUAACAUGCCAGAACAGAGGGAUGUACCGGAGGGUGACAGGGAUGAAGGGAGGAUAAAUAACCUCAGUAUACACAACAUCCCUCUUCCAUCACCGUCUAUUACAGCUUGACCCACCAGAACACAGAGUCAUUACACCGGUCGGUGCCAUUAAAAUAGUUCGGGGAACAUAUUUUUGUCUGCUUCCUCUUGUUUUUUUUAGAAUACCCAAGAGUGGUGCUUGGUCCCAGGUGUUUGUUGAACAUUAUUUAUCUCUUGGUUUUUUAAUUAAAAAAAAAACAGACCAGUUAUUCAAAUUAUACUGGGACAUAAAUUCAUCAUAUCUUCAUAAUUAUCCUUUUUUUAAACCAGCUUUCAAAAUGAGAACAGAGCUAGUUUCGGCAGGUCAUGAAGUCGGCAGAUGGGAUCCCGUCUUCCCACUCAUGGCAAAUGUCAAGCUGGUAUAGCCUGACUCGUGACGCUUCAUCUACAAACUGCUUCAAAACCCACCUCCAUCUUAGCCCCUCUAUUUUCAUACUUGUUCCUGAUUUAACCAGUGUCAUAAAAUGUAUUGUGAUUGAUGCUGCCCUCUAUCUGAGGGGUCUUUACUGCUGCUCCUCCUGCAUUGGCUUUUCAUUUCUGCACAUGAAGAUUUGCUGUUACUGCUUUACUCUCUACUCAGGUUUUUUUUUGCUUCUGUUCUCCCUGCCUUUGGUUUUUCAUGUAUGCAGGUAAAACAGAGAGGAUAUGUGCUCUCACUGCUACGAUUUGUUGCCCAUUUGUUCUUUGCUGCUGCUCUCCCUGCAUUGGCUUUCCUUGUAUACAUGUGAAGGGAGGAGGAGGAGUGUGCUCCCUGCCUCACCCCCAAUUUUCACCGCAUCCGGAACUGCAGCAGUUUUCUACGUCUGCCAGUUCCUACCAGAUCCAUUGAUGAGGCGAAUUUUGUGGCGUAUUACAGACAUCGGAACCCAGAGGGAUUCACGCGCAAUAACAAGUUGUCCCUUAGCCACAGAAGCUAACCAUAAAAGCAGUAGAUGGUGUCUCUUGCCGAGAAGCCUCUAGACUUCUAAAAUCAGCAUCUCCUCAUCCAUGGUGUCAUUGGGGUGAAAUGCUGUCGAAAAACCUUUCACUUGUUUGUCUCUGCCUGUUUGCAUGCUGUGAAAUACGAUCGGCCUGAAACGUGGAGUGUUUUAUUUUGAAAAGAAGCCGGAUGUUUUGUUUUGUGUCUGUGCCCGACUUCCUUUCCAGCACAAGUUAAUCUGUGCUGAAUUUAUCCGGCAUGCUCCGGCGUCCAGAAAAAAUAGAACUCUUGCGAUUAGAUUGAUACGGCCGGAUGCGGUGGGAAUUGGGGGUCAGACUUUUUACUUUGGGGUGAUAUACACAUAUAUGUUCAAUCCAAAGAUCUAAGAUAUUGUCCAACAUUUUGCCCACAGACAGCAUGACUUAGCAGUGUUUUGUCUUUUGGUUGAAUUCAGAGCACAUAGCUGAGGUUUUACGUUAUUACAGAAGGACUUGAGGUUUGUUUAUUUGAAGUCCUUAAAUUUAGAAAGGUUAUAUGUCACUGCCAUUUCAUGCUGCUAAGAAGAGGAACUGUUCUGUACGGAAACAAAAGACAAAAUGUUUCUGUGGAUCAGGCUUAAAAGGGGGAAACACUUAUAUGCUGUGACUACUCGAUAUGCAGGCUUGUUUUAUGCAUGCAGUUUUAAGUAUGCAUUCAUAUUUGUGCACCUGAGGCUCUUGGUUGUUUGGUUGUUGUCGAGCAGAGCCUCGGUCUAAUUGAGCAGACAUCAGGCUUUGAUUAAUAUUGUUGAUGAGUGCUGCCAGCAGGGGUGAAGACACGGAGAGGAAGAACUGUCAGACAAACACCCAGGUAACAUCCUUCAUUCCCUCCGCCUCCUCCCCUCCUCACCACCUCGCUCCCUCCCUGUACUCACAGGAAAGGAUUCAGUGCCCCACUGGUUCACCGUUGAUUACACCAUUGUCUGCUUAGAUUGCUGAGCGAGCUCCAAGUCUGCCAUAUCUUUAUAAAGAAUGCACCUUGAGAGGAAUCUGAGAAAAAGACCAAUUUUGCAGCAGAGCUCAUCUUUGAAUUUGCUGGUGGGAACAUUUCUUGCUAAUGCUGGAGGAGGAGAAGCAUGAAAAGACUGUUAGCUCCUAUCACAAAACCAACAAAAUGUUAAAAGUAUAAUUUUAAGGAAAAGAUGGAUGAGUUGAAGUGUUGCAGUAGCACUGCAGUAGAUACUGCCUGGGGUCAAUCCCAAUCCCGCAAAGCUUCAGCAAUGCAAAAUCCGAGUUAUGCGAACAUCCCAGUUGAGUUUCUUCCAAUACAAGGUGAAUGGAAGUUUCUGCUUCAACCAAUUUCAGUGUGGUUUAUAUGGGAAAUUAAAUCCCAAGUUACCGACGAGUCUGACACAAAGUUGGUUUGCCAGUUGGCGAUGUAGUGUUUCACAGCUUCUGCUAUGGUGGACUUGACAGCCUUGAAACCAAUCUACUGUCUUCUCUGUGCUGCUGCUGCUGAUCACUAUAUGUUGUGUGGCGUUUUGAGUGGCGGCAAAAAAUCAGAAAGCCUAACUCACUUUAUCCUGGCAUAGAAAAGUGUUGACUUCUAAAUAUGAGACAAUCAGUUUUCCCAGAAUUUCAUAAAAGAAAAAAAAAAAAAAGUUUAGGUUUAUAAAUUUUAACAUUUAACACUUUCUUGCAGGACAUUUUGGCUAAUGGUACAUUUUUCUUCAAUGUGAAACCAACAUAAACCCUGAUCUACAAACUCUGUAAAAAGGCAUCCUAGUUUGUAAUGUAAUAUCUGCGUUGAGCACAUUUAAAUGACUUCUUGCAAUAAUGUGCAAUAUAGUUUGCCUUGCCUAGUUUAUUGCAAUAAAUUAAGAUUUUAUUAGGGAUGACUAAUAACAGUUUUUUUAAUGGUCGUAUUAUUGAUAAUCAUAAUGGUGGCCAAUGUAUAUCGCGUUGUUUUACUCAAAGCUUCUGCAAGGAACUUUUUUGUCAACUUUGGCGCCUCCUCUGGACAAAACUGACUUUGCUUAACCACUACAUACAUGCAUACAGAUUUCAGAAUAUGAGGCAGUGACUAUUUUUGAUAUGGUGAAAAACAACGACACAUCUAUCACACAUACUAGGUUGCCACAUCCCUCUGUCCCCCAAACUUUGCCUUCUAGGUGACAUGUCAGUUUUACAACUUAAUAAACACACUAAAACUACAUUGUACACAGCUCUAGCUGUCGCCAAGAAAACCAUCCUUCUAAACUGGAAAGCAAGAGAUCAAUUAAACAUCACCCACUGGAAGAACUUACUCGUAGAUCAAAUCUCAAUAGAAAAAAUGUCAGCAUCACUUAAUCAUAACACACCUUGCUUUAAUAAAACCUGGUCUACAUUUAUUAAUAAACUGACUUUCAACGAUCGCCGGACCCCCCAAACCACAGCAUCCAUAAAAUCUGGCCCCAUCUUACUCACAUCCACAUAAUCAGCACAAACACAUCAACACAUUUGCAUCUGCCCCCAUGCAUGACAUCGGACAUCCUGCCGGACCUGCUCUCCACUUGAGCUUACAGCUUUUAUGCUGGUCGGUCAGGGGUCUCCUUGAUUUAGAAGGGGGUUUGGAGCAAUGGGGGGGGGAUGGGGGGGGGGGGGGGGAGGGAAAUUGAAACAAAAGCUUCAUACACACACGUGCACACAUUCACAUGCAUACACACACUACUUUAAGAUACUGUUAACUGUUUUUGUUUCUGUCUUGUCUGUAUAUGUACCCACCAUCACUAUUUUUGUGUUUUUGUUUUGUUUUGUUUUGUUUGUAUGUUAUAUAAAAUAAAAUUAAAAAAAAAAAUAAAUAAUAAUAAUAAUAAUAAUAAUAAUCUGCAUUGCACCCCGUGGUCAAGCUGGAGAGCAUCGGUUGUGGUUUGCAUGUGAUAUUAUGUCAUAUUUAAUGCAAUAUUUUGUUGUUUUAUAGUUCCUGCUGUUCAGGUGCAAUAUUGACUGCAUAAAGAGAACAGUGCACAUGCAGAAGCAAUAAAAUCACUGUCUGAUUGUCUCAGCUGUUUUCUAUGAAAACGAAAAAAAAAAAAAAAAAAAGAAAAACAACGACUCAAAGUUUAUCUAACAUCACUCACUGAGUAUAUAAGAUAUAGAGAUAUAUGAUCUAAAAGAAGCUUUAAGAAAUUGUCUUUAAAGUUCAGCAAACUUCCUUUCUUUCUGUAAAACACUAACAGGAAGUAUACCUCUGCAGCAUAUUGCGCGAUCCAGCUGGAGCUCUAUUCAAAUAUUUAUGUUUACUGGCAUGGUACACAUUUAAUUUAUACUGGCAAUCAAGUUAUGUAGCUACAUUAUUAAAUCCAUAUUAGUAGUUAUUACAGUUUCAUUUAUUGCUGGUCAUUGCCAUUCUCAGAGUGCUGCUGCUAUAAUAACAUUAUUAAUUGUAAUUCCUUCUAAUAUGACACAGAGGGCCGCUCUUUAGAAAGUGAUUCCAGAGGGACUUCACUAAGCUCUCGGAGAGCAUGUAUGAUGAUUAGUGCAUGUGUGCGUACCACGGCGUGUGCAUGUCAGUUUGUGUCAAUGCAUCGCACUUAUCUCCAUCACCCUGUGUGUGUAAGUGUGUGUUUGCCUGCGCGCACAUUACUUGCCUUAUCAUAUAAUUAAGUGGCAUUUAAUAGACUGUUCUUAAAGUCAGUGAUGGCUCCACAAACACAGAGAAGAGAGGCUUUAUAGUAUAUAAUCAGUUAAAUUGUCAGUGGAUAUUAACAUUAUCUGCUCUCCUCCGUAAUUUGAUUUCUUUAUUGUGUUUUAAAUUUCAUUAAAUGGCAAUAUCUGAAUAAUUGAGCAAAUAUUGGGCCAGAGAUCCGGGAACAGUAGCGGUUUUGACACCCAAUAAGACAUUAUUAAAAGAGGUGAUUGGAGUUGAAAAACUGUUAACAUCAAGCUGUGUCAUGUCGCGGUGUAUGAGCAGGAACAGAAGGAGGGAUCAGGACAGACAUGAUGAAAAAAUAAGGAGAGGAAAGAUUGUAUUUGACAGACAGAUAAAAGGAGAGGAGAGCUGCCAUGAUGAGGAAGGAAGAAAGGUCACUAGCCGGAGUAAGGAAAGGAACCGGCCAAUAAUGAGUGGAUGAUGACAGGCUGUGGCAGAUAAAUGUGAUUGCAGGGAAGCAGGACGGAGGCAGAAAAACAAGCAGAAGCAAGGGAAGGAAAGUAGGAUUGAGGAUGCACCAGAGGACGAAAGGUAGGACCCCAAUGCGCGUGAGAUGAAGAGGAUUAAGGGAUUGCACACAUCAAGGAGGGGAAGAAAGAUGUGUGGGGGAAGAAAAAUGACUGAUUGAAGAUGGGAGGAGGCGAAGGAGGCGAGGAGGAGGCGACCGUGCUACAGAGGACGCGUGAAGAGGCCUGCUGAAGCUAGAUAGCACGCAGGGAUGGCAGGAGGAAACGUGCAGCAAAAGUCUCGAGGACUUCAGGAUAUCUUGGGUUUUAAUUCUCCCCACAGGCAUCUUAAAGAUUGCCUCCGGUGGGACCAAUCGCGCAGACAUAAUGUGAGAAGAUUCACACAGGUUUGAGCGCGAUGGAUCACGCAUGACUAGCUCCCUCGCUGACAGAACUAUAUGGAAGGAUGGUGGCCACGUUCAAGCCAAUUAGAGGAGCCCUGAUCCAGUUUUUAGUGCGAGAUAAAGCCGAGCUCGGCCUCCGCUGGCAGAUUGGGUGAUGGAUCGCAGACGACAGACACACACGGAUCACACUCAACGUGAAGUGAGAAGGCUAUUGAGUCUCCAUCUGGACUGUCCGUGGCUGUCUUUCUUCUUCUCUCCUUUUUUUUUUUCGCCGUGCACACUGGGAUGUUCUCAGUCUCUGUCCAAAUUUGGCUGGAGCUUGGCCCGGCUCCCUGUUUAAUAAAAGUGAAGAGCAGAACCACAGGAUGGAUGAAUGGUUGGAUGGAUGGGUGAUUGCAUAGGUGGGCGGGCUGGCGGGUGUGUGAGACAUCCUCAGGUUUUAAUAUGUGCUCUGCCUCUCAUAUCCUUGCUUGUUUUAAUAUGAAUAGCUACUUGUGCAAGGGAAUGAAUUCAUAGCCGUGCACUAUGAGUAUUAUUGGCUGCAGUGUUGAGUGGCAGCCUAUAUAUGUGCUAGAGCAGCAUCGCAGAGGACGUAAUAAUAAACCUCCUGCAAGAGGUGGCAAAUAAAAACAACAGGGAUAAAAGUACAUCAUAUCAUAACCUGGUUCUCUGUAAAAUUACCCUCCACCGCCCUCCCCCUCCUCUUUGAACACGUCUACCUUCUCUCAGAUUUCCUCACAUCUUCUUUAUCUGCAGCUUUCACCUAUUUUUUUGUCAGUCGCCCUAAUGAGAGCACAGUCUCUUCUUGUCACUUCUCUUUAUGAAACUGCUCCAUAUCAAGGGGGGAGUUGAAACACCAUGGUGCUUUCAUCUGCCCCUCCCUCGAUAUUUGUUCACAUCCUUCUUCCUGUUGUGAGCAUGUGACAAUCAGCCACUUCUACGCAUUGUUACAGCUGAUACCUAUGACAAAUCAAUGGUGUAAACAGAGAGCAAAAGGGGCAACCCAUUGCCCCUCUGUCCUCAAGUGAAUUUAAUGUAAAUGUAAACCAAGCGCCCUCUGGAUCCAGUGACUAUAAGGUUAAUGAAAACCAAUUGCCCUCUGGAUGCUGUUCUAAUGGAUAUCACGUAAACCAAAUCCCCCUGGAUGCCCUUAGUAGCAUAAUCCCACCAGGCUGCCCUUCCCAUGGAAGCAAAGUGCUCUCUGGAUGCCCUUCCAUUUGAUAAAAUGAAUGAAGGUGCCCUGUGGGUGCUGUCCCAGUGAAUAGAAUGUAAAAAGAGCAUCUUCUGGAUGCCCCUCAGUUGGAACAAAUAUAAACAAAGUGCCUUCUGGAUGCCCCUAUGUUGGAGCAAAUGUAAACUUAGUGCCCCCUCGACGCUGGUCCAUUGAACAUAAUGUAAACAUAGUGCCCUCUGGAUGCCCGUCCUUUGAAGCAAAUCCAAAGUGCCCUCUGGAUGCCCAUUUAUUAGAGCAAAUGUACACAAAGUACCCUCUGGAUGCUUUUCCAGUGAACAUUAUGUAAACCAAGUGCGCUUUGGAUCCUGUUCAAGUGGAUAAAAUGAAAUCAGUGUCCUCUGAAUGUCCUUUAGUGGAUAAAAUGUCAACAAAAUUCCCUCUGGAUGCCCCUCCUAUAGAUUUUUUUUUUUUUCAUAAACAAAUGGCCUUCUGGAUGCUGGCUCAGUAGAUAGAUGUAAACAAAGUUCUACCUCUAUGCCCAGUCAGCAUUUUGUAACCAAAGAGCAUUGUUGUCUUUAACAUUUAUCCUCUCUCAGGGCAUACAGCUGAUAUCCUUUAUUAUUUUAAUGCCUUUACCCUUCAAAGAGCCUGAGCAUGCUUCUGGUCUCAAGUGCUGUGGAUCAGAUAAAAUAUUACAUUAAAUUCAAUAGCUUUACAGCCUAAAAUAUUGCUCUUUCCCAGUUUUUACAUGUUGUUUUAUCCAAGCAGUGGCUGCAAAUCAGCUGAAGUGUAAGAGCGAGAAUUCACUGCUGUUGGUACCUGAUAAUAAUAUGACACAUUUGAUUAUUUUCACCGACUCCUCCGGAGAAUAUGAUAAAUUAUAUUCCACAGACUCCCCCAGUCUGUUGGGCAACAUCUUCAUAAGCUCCAGAAAUAAUGUGACCAGCAGUAAACUUGUGUGUUUAAACUUAGAUCUCCAAAGUUGAACUUGGAGAGGGUGCAGAAGUGUGUGGUCGUGGUGAACUCACUGGUAAGUCAUUCCCCUGACCGAUAAUCUUUGCUGACUCAUAAACGCCAUGAUCCCAGUCACAAUAAGAGGUGUGGCUGCAGAUUGAGCUAGAUUAAAUCAGUUCUGCUGGUGGAUUUAAUCCUAAAACUUGAAUCAAAGUUCACCAAAGUGACUGAGUGGCUUUAAGUUGCGUCACCUGGCAAAAUCUUGGACUCCUUUAUCACGUCCUUAUAAUAAAUCAUCCUGUCCCUGUGUGAACUCUUUUGUUUUAUUCAAAUUAAAUAAAUCUGAUGCAGAAAUGUAGGUGUUGAAAAUGCUGCUGUGACCGAUCCUUUCAGGGUUGAAAAUGCUUUUAUUCUGAAUGCCAAGUAAUUGCACAAAGUAGUGACUGUAAGAGCAUGUCAGCUGUUGUUCAGAAAUGAAAAAAUAACAAGCCAGGGGAUGGAUUGUUAUUGUUUACUGUUUGUCAUUGGCUUGAGAUGCUUUAAUAAUGCAGGAAAAAGGAGCAGCGAACCUGGGGGCCAUGCAUUUUACAUCUCUUCCUGCUUUAAUUAAAGCGGCGACUUCAGAGGGACGCACAAAAGAGGGCUCAUAUCUGCACACCCACUCAAAACACACGCAUGUGCACCAACAUACACACACACAUACACCUUUGACAGCAUAAUAAUUGAGCCUACAUCUCUUGAAUCUGGGUCACAGGAGCGCACAGCGUACACAUCCUUUGAUGUGUCAUUAGGCUUCUUGAUUUUCCUCGAAUGCAGCGCUAUUCAGGAAGGAGAAAUUUCAGGUUGGCCAAGUCUUACCAGGAGAAUAAUUGGCACCGGUGAGUGGUUAUUAUCGGUUUGCAGGAUUCUGGAUGUGAUACAAUAUUUGCGGUGAAUUCAAAACUCCCCAAACGCCUGUACUGCUUUAUAGUUUUUCAUCUAUAUUCAUUAAGGAAUGCUAACAAGUGCUAUUCUCUUUUAUUCAAUCCAGCUCUUCCCUCAUACAGUGUAAUCAGGACCCUUUUAACCUGCACCAUCAAGGUGCACUGAUUAUACACUCACACACACAUACAGUACACACACACACACACACAGAAUAAAGCAGAUCCCUCUAAUCUCUGCUCCUUUCUUCCUGUUGUAAUCAAACAUCUUCAUUCAUAAUUGAAGUGGCUAUGGCAGAAAAAGAUGAGGAAAUUGAGACAAAGUCCAUCGGGUUUUAUCCUGAUUAUGAGUCUUGGGGUGCAGCCGCCGUGUGUGUGUGUGUUCGUCCGUGUGUGUUCUUCCCAAUAGUGUAGCUCACAAACAGCAAAGAAAGCCAGAUGAACUUCCUGCUCCGAGCUCGUCCUCUCUCGCCCUUAAACAGUCCAUCAUGCGUGUGAAGAUUUUUGUUAUGAUGAUGAGAGGACUCAGGAUGAGAAAUGAAUUGAUAUUAUACUGGAAUCAAUCGCGUAAACACUCGUAAUUGCCAAUUUAAUUGCAAACAGAAGAGGAGACGCUAACAAAAAAGACAUUAACUCAAGUGCCUGAAUUUUUUCGACUUUGCCCUGUCGCAUCAAAUUAGUUUAAUGACUUUUUGUUGCUGGGGAUCUCUUUUUUUUCCAUGUAUUAAAUCGUGCCAUCUCCCCGUUUAAUAUCAUUUAUAUGAUGAUUUGGGUUUUUACUCGUGGAAAUGACUGAAUCUAUUAGCAGAGCAGGGGGGUAAACCAGCAGUGGUCUGCUUGAAUCUGUCUGUCGAGGCUGUUUAACAUGAAACAUUUCCAACCUCUCUAAACCACAUUUAGCAAGAAAAAUUCUAACUAAUCUCAUAACUUUCUUUUUUUAUCCAAAACCCUUGAAAAACUACUUCUGGUCUAUCUGCUUUCAGUCUCACCUAUGUUAAAGAUAUUUGAAUGUUUGUACUGCGUAUUUGUAUUUUAAUACAUUCAGACUGUACAACCUUCUGAUGAUAUAUGUCCAUACUGAAGUUGUGUAUAUUUCCCAGGCCUGUACUUUACAUCAGACUCUGCUGUCUUAUUAAAACCACCCAGCAGCUCUUUCAAAUUUCCCCUCGCCUGGAAAAUCCAUUCAGCCACUCAGCCCGUCCUGGGCUCUGCACUUUGUUGAAUCAGCGUGUCUCAGAAUCAACAAAGUUUCUCUUUGAUUGUGAGGGAAAGUCAUCGCUAUUUUCUGCCCCCAAAUAUGAAGGAGUGCAAAAUUUUGAUGUUUUUUGGGCCGGUUCAAGCUGGAGUUGAAUCUCAACUGUUCCUGAAAACCUGAGGCUGUUUCACCCAUGCAGACUCAAAACCACAAUCUGUGAUUAACAUUGUAAUAACCGGUAAAGGAACAAUAGGUAAUUUAUAAUGGUGAGGUAGCACAGGCGAUCACAACUUACCUCUGACAGUAGCCACGUUUACAUGGGCACAAAUAAUCGGAGUAAAAAGCGAUCGGUUGAUUCUGAUCCAAUUUGGCUCAGACAGAAAGAAAUUGUAGUCCGAUCGAGAGGGGUGGUUUAUGCUGAUUGUUAUUCCGAAUCGCAUCCAUGUAAACACUUAUUUUGAUCGUGACUCUCUUACCUGACCCGAUCUUUACUCUUCAGCCUUCUGCUUAUUUAUUGAGGCCAGUACAAGAGGUUUCAUUAUUAAUACUGGCAUAAAACAUGACCACAGGUGCUGUGUCUGCUCCUCAGAAAACAUAACAAGUAGGGCUGCAACUAACGAUUAUUUUGAUAAUCGAUUAAUCUGCCGACUAUUUUAAUAACUAAUCGAUUAAUCGGAUAAACAGGCUAAAUUCAUCAAUGCAGCUGUAAAUAGCAAUAGCAUAGGGCUUUAGUUUAUCAUAUGAGUUUAUCUGCCAUGAGGUGUUGAGGUCUCUGCAUGUGUAGGUUACUGACUUACUGUAAUCAUCCGGUCUUUCUCGUCCUAAUAAAAACCUGCUCUAUUUCGGCGAGUGUCUGUCUUCUUCUGUAGUCAAACCGCAAGAUAUCAAAAUCUACCCGGAUACAACAAUGCUGCUUUUUGAUUGGCUGUUCAGUAGAUAUACUUUAUUUGAUUGGCUUGCGCGUGGCACGCAACUUCUGAACUCUCGGGGAAACUCAGCUGAUUUCCACCUGUUCCAUAGUCAAAGAAGUGCAACUUGGUGGACAUCACCGUGUUCAAAAUGCGUGAGAAAUACAAUGUGUGGUGUGUCAGCGUGUGAACGAGUGGGAAUGCGUGUGUCAUACGCUGAAUGCUUGAGACUUGAGAGCCCUGUGCUCGCGCAUCAUCGAUGUACUCCCGAGCCAUGCAAAACGGUCUUUGCAAAUGUUGCACUGAACGCCUUCCUUUUCAGUCUUGGUGAAGUUUUCCCACACCACUGAUGUUUUAGGUCGGGAUUUGGGUUGGGUUGUGUCCAUGUUUUUCUCAGCCGCUGUCUCGGCCAUGGCUGUUUCUUUUCUGUGCGUCCUGCUGAUGUUUACAUGCCGGUGUCCAUGGACAUAUAUAAAGACCCGACGAAUCGAUUACAGAAUUAGUUGGCAACGAUUUUUUUCGUCACGACGAAUCGACUUAAUCGAUUCGUUGUUGCAGCCUUAAUAACAAGGUGUACAUACAGUGUAAUGAUAUCACAUCUGCACGCACAGAGCAACCUUUGACAGACGGUAAAAUAAGUGAGCAACGGUGCAAUCUCGUGACAAAAUUUAACCGGGCGGAAUAUCCUGAAUUGGAUGGAGUGAGCCACUACCGCGUUUGUUGGUUUGUUGACAGCACAGGUGUCAAUACGACUCUUCUUCUGUGGUUGUUUUAGCGAAAUUAGGCUAUUGUCUGUUAAGGCUUACUUCCAGGUCAUUUUGUGGUUACAGAGCUGUGUAAAAAGUAACACCCACAAGCAACUUUUUAUCAGAGGAAAAUCUCAGGAAGAAGUUGAAAAGCACCAAAAUGAAGGUUUUCAGGGAUGCUAGCAAAAGGUAAAUAAGAUUUUGAGCUGCAAAUCAGGCAGAGCUACAGGAUCAACAAACGUACAUAUUGGCAAGAAAAAAUCAAAUACAGUCUUCCUUUAUAACUUUGUAUUCUCCCUUACUCCUCUGUCCUCUGGAGUUCCUCAAGGUUCAAUCCUUGGGCCUAUCCUGUUCUCCUUUUACAUGCUCCCUCCAUGUAAUCUUUUCAGCUGCAUCUAUUUAAUAUAUCACUGUUACGCAGAUGAUACAAAACUCAAUAGUCCUGCAAGGUAGAUAACCUGGAUCAGCUGUACUCCCUUCAUAAAAAGCCUUCUGUAGUCCAUGAAUGGAUGUUACUACACGUCCUCCAAAUGUUAUUUUUUUUCUGCUUAUGCUGUUUUAAUUCUCUGAAUACCUGCCUGAAUUAAUCAUCUUACAGUUGAGUUUGAAAUGCAGCCAUUAGGAUAUUAACUCAAACCAGCUGCCUGUACCUUAACUAUAUAACCAAGCGUUUUAUAAGUACUAAAUAAAUAUUUUACGCACCAGGGUGAGCACACACUCCUCGCCAGAGAUGUAGAGAUACAGUCACUGCUCCUUAUCCCUGCUCCUGGCCGCUUCUCAGCCCAUGAUGACAACUUAACCACCCACUGUAUCUGUCAGCAGAGGCAACACUGGAAAAUAAUAUCCCUGAUAUCCAAGGUUAAAGGUGCCAGAUUCUGACAAGCUAUGUCAUCAUUAUCAGCCUGUUUCUGUGCCUGUGUGUGUGGAGAGGUAGAAACACGAGGGGCUGAAGGUAUUUCCUUACACAAAUCCUCGCCUGAGAUGCAGCAGGCACAGGAUACGUGAAUCUAGCCGUGUGAUAUAAGGUGUUAGUUUUAGGUUUUCCUCUAAAUCUGCCUAAAGGGCAAAAAUGCUCUAUGAUUCCAGCUGUAAGUCAAACCCUGCAAUCCUAAUAUAGCCAGGGGAAACAACAGCCUCCGCCAUAAUCAGGUACCGGCGUGAUAAGCCCUCAGAAUCUGAAUUACGUUUCAACCCUCUCCUCCUCUGCCCACAAGAUUCAUUUCACAAAUGCAGCUCUAAAGAGAGCAAAAGGGCUGCACAGGGGAGGAAAAAAGCAUCCAUCACUCUCAGGCUCUAUCAAAUCCAUCUGCCGGGGUGUAUUAUUUGAGACACACUCCUUAUCCUCUCUUUUCAAGUGCGCCUCUUUGCAUUUUUUUAGCAUGACCAGGCCGUCAAAGGAUCAAAGCGCCGGCGGAGCAGCAAACUGGGGACUGUUUAACAUCUUAACAGGUAUAGAAAAGGAUAUCCGGCGUGGCGUACGGCUCUUCUGGCAGAAUAGGAUGGGUGGUGCGAGGAGAGAAGAGAAGAGAGGCGGUGUUGUCUGUGAGCUGAGAGCCACUAGGUUUGUACAGGUGCUACUGCUGUAUCAGUUAAGCGUUGUUGCAUAAUUAUUCAAAAAGAGACCAUUGUUAAGGAGGCCGACAGUCUCUCCCAGCUCUCUUUAUGUCGAAUAAUCUGCAAGCACACGCACGCAGACACUCAGAAAAGUAAGUUUUCAUCCGUCAUUCUCCUUGUAACCCAAAAAAUGAAAAGUCGAGCAGAGAUGCAGAAUCAUCUCACUUGCAGCAUGUGAUCGUGUGAUCCGUGGGAAAUGUGAAAAUGCUGCUCAUACUUUAGCACCUUUGUCAGCAGUCUGUUGCAGAGGCACCAACGUUCUGGCGGAGUCAAAGAGAAUCUGUGAAAAGAAACCUUUCUGUUAAAAGUCGCGAGAAAACGCUCAGCCGCGGUGAGGUAGCUCAGAUUUCUGGGACUAUUUCAGGAUCAUGAUGACAAGGUAUGAUGUCGACACAUUUCUGCCCUCGCAGCAGUCGAGUGGGAAAAUAAAAGAUGUCUCUGCUAAUGCCUGCCUUAAACUAGGAAGCUUUGAAAGACUUUUGAAAGGCUUAAGUAUGAAACCCCUUCGGGUCCUCAUAAACAUGAGUCACAAACUGAUAUUUUACAGAGUAUGUACCUUUAAAGACCAGGUUUCAGAGAACUGUAACUACAUUCAUUUGGAUUUAUUUUCCACCUUAUGUACUGAUUAAACAAUCUGUUUAAAGAAGCACACAGACGUGAUGUGAGUACGUUGGUAAAGCAGCAGAUUGCACUCAGAUUUUGGUGCUCUGUAACCCCCAAUUUUCACUGCAUCUGGGACGGCCCCAAUUUUUCAUACCGGAUCUGUUUGUGAGGCGGAUAACAUACAGCAGGAAUCACGAGAACUCACAAGAACCCGCGGAUUCACGUGCAAUUGCGUGAUAACAAGUUGUCUUUAGCCACAGAGGCUAACCGUAAAAGCAGUAGAUUGUGUCCUUCCAGUGGAGGAAAUCUAGUUCUAGCAUCCUCUCAUCCAUGGUGUCAUUGGGAUGAAAUGCUGUCUAAAAACCUUUUACUUGUUUGUCCCCGCCCAUUUGCAUGGUGUGAAAUACAAUCCACCUGAAACAUGAAGUGUUUUAUUUUGAAAAGAGGCCGGAUGUUUUAUUUCGUGUCUGUGCCCCACUUCCUUUCCGGCACGGGUUAAUCUGUGCUGAAUUUAUCAGGCAUGCUCCGACGUCUGGAAAAAAAUAGAACUCUUGCGAUCAGCUGUGGAGUCCGGCGAUCCGCAGCAGAAAGGAAAGAAGCCGGUGGAAAUUGACACUUUAACUUCAAUGGUUAUGAUCCGCAAAUAUGGCCUUUUCGUAGCCGUUCCGGAUGCGGUGGAAAUUGGGAGUAACUGAGAGUUCAUUUAGCAACAGGAGCGUAUUUCACAAACGUUCACUCUCAGGAAGGGUCCCAAAGGCUGCAGACACUGAUUUCAGUAAAGCACAUUUUAAAGAGAAUUGUUUCGGCCUCAAAAGCUGGUAAAUGCGUGAACAAAGACAUGCAAUAAUGUCGACGCAGAUUUAAUAGGAUGGGUUAACUCUGACAGGUUAAUUCAACACAUUCAGCUGCAGACUUGACUUCCUGUGAAGCACUGUCAUGCAAACAUGAAUAACAUUCAAAUGUCAGACGAUUUGAAGUGAGUCUUCCCUUCAAAUCACGUCAUAAACAGAUUUUUCCUUGAGUAAACAACCUCUGCUCCAUCCAAACAUGUAUUCAGAUUUUCCCCCCUUCCAACACUCUCACUCACUGCCACCACUUCUCCUCCCUCCUGUCUUCAAAUCCCCUUUUCCCCCCUCCCUGCCUCUUUGUGUUUGCUCGUCUUUCUUUAUCUUCCUCCUUUUUAAAAAGGGACGAUUCCUCCUCCUUUGUUAAUGUGACAAAUCUACUCUAAUGACUCUGCAGUGGCUCUAGGCGUCUCACGCUGAAAAACACUAACCCCCUUUUCUUCAGACCCUUCAGUCACUCCCUCACAUUAUUCCGCCCUCUCUAUAGUCUUUUCAAGUCUAUGUGAAAUUUUUUGACAAACCCGUCCUGUGAAAAACAAAAUGAAAAGAUUGCUUUGCUCUCAUUCAUUCUCCUACCAACCAGCACCUCCUUUCGUCGCCGCCGCCGCCCUGACUACAAUGACAGACUUUGUGCAUCAUAGGCUGCUGUCACACUGAUGUUUCUGUCAUAAAACAAGCACGCUUCUCAAGCUAUUGUGACAUUCAUGUCUGACACUUGAAACUCUUUGAGGAGCUCAUCCUCUUCAAGUUGGAGCUUUUUCGUAGGUGCUGUUUUAGGCUCUUUUUUUUUUACGUUCCGCGCUGCUCCCGGCGGCUAUAUUGAGUUGAGUCUGACUCUAAGGGGUUGAGCAGGUGGCCAAACACUCUCAUUCUCUGUCAACUCACUCCUACCACCUCUCCAUUUCUACAUGGCAAGAUAUGCAUCACUGCCAUGGCAACAAUAGCCUCCCUCAGCCCACGGAAAAAGGAGACGGGAAGGGAAGAUCUUGGCUGCGAUCUAAGUUAGUCAACAUCUUAUAGAGAGAGAGAGAGAGAGAGAGAGAUGUAGAGGUGUAUUUAGGGUUUUUUUCACCGCCAUCAGUUUCAGAAUGGAUGUGGCUACUUAAUGAAAUGUUUUAACCUCUGGGAAAGAGGAACGACGGCGAGAAAGGAAGGAGGGGAAAGGAAAGCAGGGGAAGAUCGUUUCCCUCCUUUCUCUUUUCCUGUCAGGGUGGCGGGGCAUUGCAUUUGAUGCCUGCGUUAAGACUCUGUGUGGCUAAUGAGGAAAGCGCAGGGCACACUCAUUAAACCGUGUGUGUACAUGUGUGUAUAUAUGUGUGUGUGUGUGUGUGGGAACAAACUGAAAGUGAAAGUGGGGAGAAACUCAUUAGAAUUCUCCCGUUCUCAAAGGCCAAGUUGGUGAGGAGGAUGGAUCUGUGGCGAGGCAGCCUGUUGAACCCUUUCGAGAUACGAAACAGUUACACAUUCAUAAAUACAUUUAUUAAAGGCUCAGCCAAUGGGGAGUGAUACCAGAUUUUUGCAAUUCAGUUUCCAAAAGUUGAAGGGGACCAUUCAUUAUAACUUUGGUAUUCCAAAACCCCAAAAAGUCCACCAGCCGACGCAACCUCGUAACAAGUUUGAUCCUACUGGAGAGUUUCCCAAAUUAGUGCUUCUCAUAGCCUCGUGUUUGGACUGAAUUACAGAUUGUUGAUUGAAUUAAAUGCUUUAAAUCAGGUAGGGCUUACCCAUGGAACUAAACUGCUUUGGUUAACAAAAAUAGAGGUGAGUUUGGGUGCUGUUUGAACCCAGUAAAGUAGGCACGUCAUUACCAGAGACAAAUCCCACAUCCUGUUGGCUGCUACCUCAAAUCCCAUCAGUGUAUCUGGGUUAAAUUAAACAUGUUGGGCAUGUUUUUUAACAGAUAUAAGAUAUUUACAGUAGAUUCAAUUACAUAAAUGGGAUAUCCUCCAGAUAUGGAAGUUUACAUUUUGUCCUACUGCACAGUUUUUUAAUAUUUCUCAUUUCUUGUGUCUAUACUUUAGCGAAGCCAAACCACCACUAGCCAAAUGCUACAGCUACAGUGCUUGACUUUAAAGGUGUCCCAACACAACUUUUUUACUUUAAAUAAAAUACUGAUAUUGGAGCCUUCAGUAUUGGCCGAUACAAAUAUUGAUUUGAUAUUGGCACAAACUUGUGCAUGACAAGUUUUUUACUUAGCUGCAAUGUCUUUUCACUCCUUAUUAGUACCUUAGUACACACUUUUGUUGUGAUCACGUGGGCUCUGCAUGCUGGAUCUGGCUGUUGCUAGAUAAAGGUGCUGGAGCUGAAUCUGGAAUGGACUGCUCGAAUCAGGGUACUGAUAUCAGAGAUUUUAGAUUCAUGCUAAAAUAAUCCGAUAUUUGUUUUUUGGACCAGUAUCAAUAUUGGAUUGGGACAUCCCUACUUGACUUUUAUGUAAGCCAGUACAGGUGUCAAAUUACAUCCUUGACAACUUAAAAUGUCAUAUUUCCAAAAGAAGAAAGCCAAACAUAACCAGCACAGGGCUGUUAACAAAUAAACAAGUCUGGGUUGUGUAACGUGUUAAUAUAAUGGCAGAUUUCAUGUCAGUAGCUGCAUUCAAUGGGCACAAAUAAUCGGAAUAAUGGCCCAAUUGGAACAAAAAUACAACAAACAUGUCGAUUGUAAGAUUCUGAUCCAAUUCGGCUCAAUUGGAAAGGCAUUGUGUCCUGAUCGAGAGUGGUGGUUUACACAGAUCGUUAUUUUGAAAUGAGUCCAUGUUAACACUUAUUCUGAUUGUGACUCUCUGUUUGUUUGUUGACAGCACAGGCGUAAAUACAACUCUUCUUCUGCAGUUGUUUUCGCGAAAUUAGACAAUUCUGCGCAUGUACAAACGCUUCUAAUAUGAAUAUAGUUGUACGAUCGAUUAUCUGAUUUUGCACCCAUAUAAACAGUGGAUUCACAUUUUCCAAUCCCUCAAGUUUUGCACAUGUAUGGCUAAUGUAAAAGUGACUUGGAAACCAAAUCAUACUCAACAACCAUCAGUUGCAGGAUCCAUGACAGCAUUUAGUUUACAAUAGUCUUGUGUUUGACAGAACUACCAUAGCAGGAUUUUUGCUACCUAAUUUCCUCCUUUUCAGUCCUUAUAAUUAUCUCACUCUAAACAUUAACUCCGGCAUUGAUAAGCUGUUGCACAGACGUCGUAUGGCCGCACUUUCGGUGAUGACAUUUCCCUAAAAACAUUCACAAAAAGUUCCAAUUAUGACUCUCAAUGUUUGUCUUUUUCAGGUGCAGGAGCCUUAAAUAGUCAUAUUUUACAACUUCAUGUCUCAUUAAAACUCCUCACUGAAGCCGACCAGCAUCUUCAUACAUCAAAAUGUCUUAUUAGAAUCAAUUUGGCGGGAACAAACAGUUCAGCGCGUCGGUUCUCGUGCUUGUUUGCCAUCCUAAUUGGCAUUAGUUUCAUUUGGAUCCUUUUUAGCACAAUAAAGACUGCGAGCGGGAGGAAACAGAACGGCUGUGUGAAUAAUACAGCUUUCAAGAACUUGAAGUGGUGUGCUGAAGAUGAUACGUAUGUUGUUUAUCGUAGUUUUGGAGCAGCGAUGCUUUAGGGUGAACCAAUUAUGAGCUGUCAACUUUGUUGUCCUCCUGUGGGUUUUAGAUUAAAUUGAGCCAGUUUUCAAUAAUAUCAGUAUCAAAAACUUUUUCAUUAACACUCCUGUUAGUGUGUUUAGUUUUAUAAUGGAGUGUUCAGAUUAUUUGCAAAGAGAGCUUUAAAAGUUAAAGACUCCUAAGUUUGCAAACUUACUGGUUAUACUGUUAAUUAGAAAGUUUGUAAGCUCACAGAAAAGUCCUUUAAAAUUUAAAAGACAAUAAACUAGAUAAUGAGUAUCGUCUCACAUGUAAAAUAGAGUAAAAAUUAGAGUUAAAAUGGUUAUAAAUGUAAUUAACUAAAAUACCGUUGUGCCAAAAAACAUGCCUUCUUAAUGCGAGUGAAUAUGUAAACCCCCUCCCCGUGUUUAUUUUCCCCAACCUUCCCUUUAGUGUCACUGAUGCCAUUUAAUUAAGGUGGUUUCUCAGUAUUGUGCUUCCUGCUUUCAAACAUGGCGUGUUGUUCAAAGCUUCUUCUUCUUCUGCUGCCGUAAUGAGCCGAGCCGAAUCCGCUGAGAGCUGCGCUUCUUCUCCUCCUGGUGACUCCACCGCCGUCUAUUCUGAACCCUCUCCCACUCCGCCCAACACUUCAGAGCAACACGCAAAGUAAAUAAGCUUUGAGGUUUUGUGUCUUUGGGGGGUUUUUUGUUACUUAAUAUGUGUAUGGGCCCAUCUGUGUGUGUUUGUGCAGUGAGAGAGACAUUAACUUGAGUUGUGUAUUUAUAGAUUAUAAACAAUAUCUAUAUUUUCUGUUAAUGAAACUGGUUCGACAUGAUAAAUCCUCAUUUCAAGGACUUCAAGAAACGAGUCCUUCAAUUGUUAAUUAACUCGACUGUUUUUUUCUUCACGCAAAUAAUACAAUCUUUACAUUUAACAAGAUGCCAUCUCUAAUCAUAUGCCAUUAUCGCUUGGUAAUUAAAUGGAGCUGCGCAGAGCAAUCCAAGCUGCACUGAUUUUAUACUUGACAUGCAUCAUUUUCACAACAACCUGACAAAAAUAUAUCUCCCCAAUUCGGCAGCUUUCAAAACCACAAAGUUUCUGGUCUCGGUUUCAACCCCAGGAUCCACCUGCAGGCUCUAAACAGGGGAUUUAUGAUAUCAUGUCAUAACUCCUUGACUUCUGCAUAGAAAUAAAACUAAGAGAGGUGAUGAGGUUAGAGCCUUUAGGUCAAACUAAAAUAUGCAGCUGCAGUGAAUAUUUUAAACUAUUGAAACUAGGACUUGUAUGACUGAACUCAUACUUAAGCUUUUUUUUGUUGCAAAUCUAGAAUAACUGUCGAUUGAUAAAAGAAUUAACACUUUCAGGAUAGUUGUGUUUCUAUGAUCAAACAUAGAAAUACUAAUCACCCUGAUAACCUUAAAUUUAACCUUAAUUUAUUUUGUUACGGUUGUUCAAAAGCACAUUUUAGAUUUCAAAGUUCCUCUUGCAAGGAAAGACCCCAACCCAUAUUACCCAAAGUGGCAUUCCUAACAACCAUCCCACAUGUGAGCCUGGAAGUAUUCACCCUUUCUUCUUUCUGUCUUCUUACUUUCUCAGCAUAAUUUCCAAAACCACUUCAUUUUUUCCUCACAAGAACAGACCCUGUAAGGGAUGCGAACCCUUCACCAUUUCACUUCAAGCAAACUUCCCAACCAUCCCACCCCAAAGGAGCCCGGCAGCACUUCCCUUUUUCAUUUCACCAUGUCAUUAUGGGAGUUCAUCAAAAGCACAUCAUAUACUAAUGUGCAAGGAUUUGAUCUCCCUCUUUGUGGUGGCCCCAGUCAGGGAUUUGAACCCAUGACCAUUUCACUUAAAUAAACCUUAACAGGCCUGGCAGUGCUUAACAUUGUAGGUCUUUUCAUUUCACCAUGUUGUUAUGGUGCUUCAAAUGCUUUCUGCAUUUCCCAGAGCUGGGACCCAGAACUUUGUGGGGAGGCCUUGUUAGAACCCAAUAUGUAACAAUGACCCAAAAUGUAGUAACUUUUUUGCCUAAAAUGUCGCAACUUGUUACAUUUUGGGUCAGCUUUUACAUUCCCGGCUUUAUUACUUUUUUUUUUUCAUGCCAUUGUUAUAUCCGACUCUAACAGGCCUCUGCCAGGAUUAAAACUUAGAACCUACUUGCUGUGACUCCAGAGUAAUAUACUGUCAUGAAGGCUUUUCUUCUAUAGGUUCAUCUAAUAUCCAGAACAUAAUGGUAACUCAAAAGUUUGGUCUGAAUUCAGAUUGAGAAGCCCCCUGCUGGGAUUCAAACCUGGAACCAACUAUCUGUGAAGUGACAGAUUUAACACAAACAUCAACGUGUUCCCCUUAACUUACUUACUCGUGAAGGUUCAUUACUUUACAGGCAAUUACGGUAAUUCAAAAACAUGACCCUUGAAGUCAAGUAUACAAGCCAUAUUGUUGUUAGAUCUCCUCAAAUCUAAAUUGCUGAUGUCGUCCUUAAUUUCUUGAGGUGCCCUUUUAAAAAAAAUCAGGGACAAAAAUGACAAUGCAAUACAAAAAUACAUGGACAUCUAUGAUCAUUGAGCAGAUCUGUAUCUGUAUGGAGCAGUAAUCUAGUAUACCAUCACACAUUCACAGGAUUCAGAUAGCUGCUGCACAUGUGUGUAUUGUGCACAGUAGGUAAGCGAAGGAUAUACACUGCAUAGAUCGAGGCACAGAGUUGUUUUGAUGAGGCUUGACUCCUGCGGUGGAUGCCAACAUUUUGUGUUUGCCAUUACGCUGGACCGGGACAUACAUGUGUAUAAUCAAUAUCCCAUUCAUUCAAUUGCACGGAUUAUUCCUUACUGAGAGAUUACUCGAACAAGGACUUACAGCCCUGCCUCGGUAAACCCUCAAAGUGCCACAGCGCUGCAGCCUCUGUGCUCCAGGAGCUCAUUUGAAAAGAGGGAUUGUUCUCAGAAUCACAGAUUUCUAUUUUUAUUUCUUUUUUUUUUGUGAAGGCUUCUUGUGAAUUACUUCUAUUGAAAAAGCAGCACGUUUUCUAAAACACAAUAUCUGUCUGAUUCUGGUAGUCGGCGGGUGAGCUCCGAGAUGACAUCCCAGCAGACGUCUCGUGUUUCAGUUACCAAGAAUUUUCUACUUGGAGAUCUUUCAGGGUUCACUGAUCGCUAAGAUAUGAUGAGAGAUUGGGAGAGAGGGAGAUGGUGGGGGGAGGGGGUGGAGAAGAUUGGGAAUUCGCAGCAGUUCAAGUUUGUGUCAGAGCCAAAGUCAAACAGUUAGGCUGCAUUUGCAAAGCGUGGUUAGAGGAGAUGUUGUUUAUUCUGCUGCGAACCAAGGCUCAGCGGGUCGUGCCAAGCGAGCAAUGUGGGAGGCUUUUUCCAGAGCGGGGUGUCGUCAUCGGUUUGUACAUCACACCCAUCCACUUGCAAUAUUAAUAAAGCCGAAAUAAAUUUUUAACGCACGUUCUCUUCAUCAUCCUCCCACCUACCUCUGUGCGAGACAAUGUGCCAGGGACAUAUACAACACGCACGCUUACCGAGGCCCACACAAGCCUCGGUAAACACUUCAUCUUCCACCUUCAGAGGCUUUAUUAAAGGAAUAAUCAUGAAAGAGCAGAGGCAAAAGUAGCAUCUCACACUUAUAACAAAUAAAAAAAUAUCUCAGCCGGUCGGUGACAGAGCUGUUGACAGCUGCAGCAGCAGCCGCGGUCAGCUGCAGCUUCGUUGUUUUCUUGUUUUUUUUUUGCAGCCUGUGUGUGUUUGUGUGAUGCUGUAAACUCGCGAGGCGCUCUCAGACACUCGCCGCGUGGUUUGAUUCUCCCCGUCGAGAAGGGUGACCUGGCAUUUCGGUGACUUUUAGAGGUGUUACCAUGCUGACAUAUUGCUCUCUCAUUUUCCCAGAGUGCCCCCCUCUCCUCCUCUACCCCCCUUCCUCACACUCCCCAUGUUGCAUGCAUCUUUUGUUGUCUGGGUUGUUUACUCCACUCCAGACUCGUCGUGCUUUUAAAAGCUCUACUUUAACGUGCCGAUGCUCUCUGCCGCUGCUCUGUUCAUUAGUACUAACAAAGCAGAUUUCUGCGAUAGUAAAAAACCUCCAAGGGAUUGUUUUACACCGAUACACUUUAAUUAAAAUGUUCAGGAGUCGCUUUUGGAGUAAAACUACAUUUAGUCUUUUUGAUGCAGACGGAUUAACUCGAGUGUGUUUUCCUACAUUUCCCAACAUGUCUUCUGACAUCUCUCAGAUUGAUUAUUAAUGUGUAUUUUGUUUCAGUCUGUACAAAUGAGUCAAAGAGGAGAUAUUUUCUUCCCCUGGUAUGAAGUUGUUUCUUUAUUUGUUCAGUUAUGUGUAAGAAAUUAAGUUCAACUCAUCCAUACCCAGUGAAAAACAAGGCGCUAGUAUUUGUCUACAUUUCCAUUUGAACGUCAUCCUUUAUUAUUGGAAUUAUUAAACUCAAUACUUUAUUAGUACUCAUUAAUACUGUUUAAUGUGCUCUAUAACUGCAUGAUGUAACUUUGGGUUUAAGGGUUAGAAAACUUUGUUGCCCCACAAGUUGCCAAAUGUUGAGCUUUGCCAGUGUCCAGAACACUCCUUCAAAAUAAGAGCACGAUAAGAAACCAAGGGCACUCACUCAACAGAAAAAUCUGAUGGGACUUUUACUUUGAAGCGAAACUCAAUCAACUCAAUCAGUUUAGUUUUAAUUACAAUCAGCUGAGGACUUUUUUAAAAUUUAGUUCAGAUCAGAGGUUCCCAAGACCCGAGAGGGGGAUGUCAUAGUUCCUCAUCUCUUGUGCUACCUGUACUGUCCUGCCUGAUUCGUACAAGGUUCUGAUGUUCCAUACUUGAUGUCGAUGCUUUAGCAACUGGGUUUCUUUUCCGGGGUGGGGUAGUUGACGUGGAGAAUGACAGAAAAGAUGUUGCAGAAGAUCCAGACAUUUAUAAAUAGCUGUCUGAGGUGCAUACUUGGAAUUAGGUGGCAAAAAUUUACGAUAAAGGAGCUGUGGCAGAAAGGGAGAGAGGAGCCAGUAGAGAGCCAGAUUCGGUGGUGGGGCUGGAUUGGCCACACUUUCAUCGGCCACUAUCACACGCCAGGCCCUGACUUGGAAUCCUCAGGGGAUGAGGAAGAGGGGAAGACCCAAGAACAGCUGGAGGCGGGACACUAAGACAGAGUUAAAGAGUUAUGGUCCUAGCUUGGGAGAGGUGGAGAGGAUUGCCCAAGACGGUGCUGGAUGGAGAAGAGUUGUCGAUGGCCUUUGCUCCAUAGGUGGGCUGAAGUAAGUAAGUAAGUAGAGGCUCCCAAAGGCGCCCAUCGGUGAACAAGGAUAUUUUCAGCCCCCAAGCGAGGUUUUGAGGAGCCGGUCCCUCUCUGAGGAGGCCACCAUCUUGCUCUCCUACGUCUCUACAAUAGCACAGAAUGGACAAACUAGAGCCAAAUCCAAACGAUCACACAUGCCAUACCAUGCAACAUGUGCGUUUUUGUGUUUAGUGUGAGCGCAGAGUAGGAAGAAGCAGAAGAGAGUGGAUACUGCCAUCCUUAUGGAGCUUUGCCUCAAGUAUGUCCAGAGUCUGUUGCACAUGAUGGAAGACUCAAUUUUUCCUUUUUGUAAAAUGUAUUUAACUCACUUUUCCAAGUAUGUAACUUUAGGUUCAAAAGGAUUUCGUCAACAAGAUUUAGACUUUUAUCACAGCGAAAUUCAAGCACCAAUCAAAAGGGGUCAUUUGGUCCAGGUAUUACAGCUCAUGAACGGGCUUCCUCUCCUCGGCCCGCUCACUUCCUGUCAUUUACAGCAGUUAGCACCUCUGCAGCAGAUAACUUUGUCGAAUUAUGUUCCAUUAGACUAAUACAGCUCCUAAUCUCUGAGUUUUUACAGAAGUUUUUUCUCUCUUAGUGCUGGAGGGUUUGGUUAAAGACACACUGAGAAGAGACAUUUAAGUGAUUUUCUCUCUGCACUUCUAAUUACUUGUCUCCCUCUAUCUCUAAAAAUAAAUUCAUAUUUCAUAAGGCAUCUUUCUCUCAGCUCACUGCCACCCUGCCAAACUGUCUGCGUGCCACCCGGUGUCAUUUUGAUCAUAGAUAUUUAGCAAAGGAAAAGCAGAGAGAAAAAAUUAUAUCUUCCAAUUAUCUAUACUGACGGUUUUUGCCGAGCUGUUGACCUCAACCUCCUUGUAUCUCAGCAAUUUAAAUUUAACCCCGGCUGUGUGUUGUACGUGCUAAUUAGAAAGCUUUUUCAAAGAGAAACUCACACCAGGAGCGCCAGAGAGCGAGAGAGAAAGAGAGAGAGAGAUAGAUGGAGAUGGAGAUAAACACUUCCACAUAAAGAAGAUGUAAUAGCUGAGAGUGUUUCAAAAUGAAUAUCUCUGAUGCUUCAACAGCUUCACGGCCAGGUGGAAAAGAGAAAGGAGAAAAGACAACGAGACCAGGGACUAGACUAUCCUUUCUUGUCAUGUUGAAGUGAUUAAAACAGGUGACUCACCUUUUUUCUUUUUUCUGACCACAUGUGUUCAUCAUCAUGUGGCAGAAUAGCAAGGUCAAGUUUAACCUUCCAACCAUCACAUGUAUUGUGAUGAAGCACCCUCAAUAGAGGAUCAGGCAAAAUAUUAACCCCACCAAAUUGUGUAGUGUAAACAGCAACAACAUUGAGUUUGUCUGCUUUCAUUCUGUGUACAUGACACAUCUGUGCUGUGCAGUACAGGCUGAGAUAACAAAGUGUCUUCUUUGAAAAAGUGAAACAACCAGUGUAACCAAAGGUCAUAAAAGAGAAUUAAAAAGUGAGGUACCAUGAUUAGCAGUUUUGCUUGUAGCCCCCCACACCGGACCUGUGAUGCUGUUUUCAACUGGACGCUAGUUUUUUAAAAAUGUUUUUAGCUGCUGGUUACCUGGUAGCUUAGUGACCAAGUGGAAGAAACCUCUGUGGAUGGAUCAAGUCGGUUAAAUCCUGAGAAAUGUUAAGAAAACAAGCCGAACUAACAGCUCAGCUCACAGCCCCCUUUUUAGAUUCUGUGUCUUUUAGAAACGUGAACGGGACAGUGGAAGAAAAGGCCCAUAAUCCUGUUAAGACUGAGUUUUUUCAUGACGUUGAUACAUGUUGAGGCAGCAGCUUGGCUUGCAGCCCCACACAAGAUCACAAGACAGUGAAUUUUGAUAAGACAAUUUUUUUUUCGAGUAUUGUUAGCUUUGAACUACGUGUCACAUUUGUUAUAACACUGAGGAAAUAAGGAACAAGCUGACAGCUCAGCUUGCAGCCUCCUCCUGCCAUCCUGUGUCUGUUUUAUAUAUAUGGAUGUGACAGUGAAUGUGAAGUCCCAUGAUCCUGUGAAGAUCAAAAAUUGUAACAAUAUUUCAAACACAUAUCGUGGUUGCAGCUUGGCUCGCAGCCCCACAUUUUUUGAGCGUUUGAGUGUUUUGCUAUGUGGGAAAUGAGACCUCUUUGGCUAACUUGUCUGUGUUUAAACCUUUGACUUUUAAGCCAAAAUAUAAGCAAAGGUCAAGACACCAGCUUGGCAAACAGCUCAGCUCACAGCCCCUGGCAUUUUAAAAUGGGUCCAAAUUAGGGUUUCAUUGGAUUUUGCAACCAGCCUCUAGUGGACAUACAAGAGGCUGCAGUUCCUGAUAGUACUGAGUUUGAUUUAAGUACAACAUUGAGGUCCAUAAACUCACCAAAGUAAUCAAAAAACAAGCUGAGGUAGAUGUGGCUCAGCUAGCAGCCUCCACUGCCAUGUUGUGUCUGUAGAAAAGCUUCAUAAAGACCUAGGCCUGGACGAUAUAGAAAAAAAGCAUAUCGAUAAAAAAUAAAUCAUAUUGAUCGAUAUCGAUAAUUAUCGAUAUAAUUAUUAUAAUUAUUUAACAUAUAUUUUAAUUGCAGCCCUGGAUGUUUUAUGCUAUUGCUUAAUGACCUACUUUUAAUAAAGAACACACAAGCACUGAAUUCAAAUUCAAACCUUUAUUCAACCACCUUUUCAUUUUACCACAACUGAAAGUUUUUUUAAAAAAGAACUAAAAAAAAAAAAAGAAAUCAACUUAAGUGGCCUGAGUGACGUCAGUAAAUACUGACAAACAUAAAGACUAAAGUGACCAGAAAAUCUGAUAAAUAAAUAUUUAAAUAGUCUUUUGAUGAAAAUAAACAAAACAAACAAAUAUAUAAAUAAACAGAAUAGCUUUAGGUGGGAAUAGCAUACUACCAGUUUUAACUGUGUGGGAAACUGCCCACAGCCUGGUGUCUGAACACUUAAAUAUUUCUCCCGGGGUCGGGAGAUUUAUUUUUUUUAAUUAUCAUGUGAUUGACUUAAUACACAAACUAAGCACGAGAAGCAGGACUUAUCCACGCCGGUGUUGUGUCGUAGAAUGCACCCCUGCCGAAUGCACCCCCUGCUAGUAGCCAUGAUCCAAAUACUCGCGUCUUUGUAAAAUAUGAGCUCAUUUGAACGUAUUUCCUCCGCACCCUUCUCACCUUUUCAACCCCUGACCCAUUUUCAUGCCUGAAGCGCUGUGUUUGAGAAAUACUUGCGGCCGGGCACUUCAUAUCGCGGGUCGAGAGUGGCUAGAAGCUGGUCGAAGCCAGGCUUUUCAACGGUAGUUAUUGGCAGUAUGUCCCUCGCUAUGGAGCAUGUUACUGCAUGGGUGAUGUCCUUAUGCCGCUCGGACGCUUUGUCGUAUUUUGGCAAGAAACAAAGUCCAGUUUGGUCUGCUUCACAUGCUUUGUGCUGGUGCUGGCAGCGGUUCCAGAGGAUUCCUCCGACGACAACGACGUGGAGCCGCGGCGCGGCCGACACAGCUCGUACUCCUGCGGGUGCGAUCGGUUUAGAUGGUAAAACAGGUUGGUUGUGUUACCAGACUUGGUUUUUACUAAUUCUCCGCAAAUUUUGCAAACGACCGCUGUUCGCUUUUUGUCAGACUUCUAAAAACCAAAACAUUGCCAUGCUGGUGAACUACUGAAACCUUUUUUCGGGACAAUGUACUCCGCUUCUCCGUGCUGUAUCAUUUUUUCUAAUACACGUGCUGUCUGUUGUGGUUUGAUAGGGGCUGGGCUUGGUGCCGUAGCGUACCUGGGUCUGCGUUUGUGAUUGGUUAGGAGGAAGUAAUGACUGUAGUAAAAGCUACAUGAUAGGCUAUGAUGAAAAAGAAAGGGAAACUGUGUUUUUCUAUCGAACUUUUUAUCGACCCGUUUUUUUUCUAUCGCACCACACGUCUAUCGAUCGAUAUAUAUUGUUAUCGAAUUAUCGUCCAGCACUAUAAAGACCCUAUUUAACGAUUUCUUCUUGGUAAACAAGGUGAGAAAAACACUACAGCCAACAUGAGGCACAUGUUAAUAAACCAUAAUAGGAGGUUGAUCACCGGCUCUAUGAUCAUUGGGAUACCCCUCAAGCUGAUGAAUUAUCAAAUUAUUUACAUUUGAUAACGGUUCGGGGAAAAAUAUUGUGACUGUAUAUUUGCCAAAUUGCAGUGAGCCCCACUUAAAGCUGGGUAAACUGUUUCUUAAAUUAAAAUGGAGGGUAACUGGCUUUAGAUCUGUUUUGGUUGAGGGCUUCUGAGGAAGCAGAUAAAGCAAGAGAGGAUUAUAAAAUGUGAAGUAAAGCAGGGCGGGGAGGGACGCUCUCUUCCUCAUCCAAAUCCAUUACAAGAGUCUGCAGAGCUGAGAAGGUCCCAUGUCCAAUUAGCUGUUUCAUCUCCAAGUGGAAAUGUGACUGUAGGGAGACGCUGCCCGGCAACAUUACCUCCUCCCCAAUAACUUACAGCUAUCAGGAAGGAGGCUGCAGGAGUGUGUGUGUGCGUGUGUGUGUCUGUGUGAAGCCUCAGUACUGCUGGUUGUCAGAUUGUCCCAUUAAUAAGCUCUGGCCUUUAUUACCACUUAGCAAGCCUUAUGUGUGUCUUUCUGCCAAGUAUGCUUCUUAUUCUGCCUCCCUCAAAGUAAAAUCAAAAUCUGCAUGUGUGUGUUUGUGUGUGCGUGUGUUUAUUUGUGUGGGUUUGUGCACCUCACACGUUCCUGUAGCCGUCAGCGUGUCAGAUUACUUUUUAAGGCGGAUUGCCGUAUACAUGACUUCGCAUUUUCACUGUCACUUUGAAGUUUUCCAAAAGCGUCUUUUUCGCAUCACCUACUGUAACACCCUGAGUGUGUGUGUGUGUAUGUAUACACGUGUGUGUCGGCGUGUUUGCAUGUAUUAUUUACUUUUAUAUAUUUAUUUUGCAGCGCGGCGUGCACUUUGUUUGCAGGGAUUACAGGCGGUGGGAGCUCAAGCUUCUUAGCCCCUCGCAGGCUUGCCACAGCUGCCUGCCACUUCUAAUGACACUUCAGACUAAGACUGGCUAAGUCCAUAGGCAGGUUUAUUAGUUUAGAGAAUGCUUGAAUGCAUACAGCCUCUUUUUGAAUGUGUGUGUGUGUAAACGUGUGUACUGUAUAUGUGUGCGAGAGUGAGCGAUUGCCUCGCUCAGGCAGCUCUGACAGGCCUGUAGAGUUUAAAUGAGAAGGAUGCCGUACACGAGGAACAUAAACGUCUGCUUUGGCAUCGACAUGUCCUGACACAAGGCGGUAACUCCAUUACCUAAUGAAGGAUGCAAAUGUAAACCUCUCCUCCCCUUCUCUCUCUCUCGCUCUCUCUCUCUCUCUCACUCUCUCUCUCUCUCUUCUCCCUGAUGACUGGAGCUAGUUUCUUAUAAUAAUGUCAUUUAAUCGUGUCUCAUUGUUUAUUUGACAAGGUCUCCCUCGGGAGCCGUUACAGCUCGCACUUUGUAUUCGCAGUGCGCGCUAGUGUGUGUGGUUUUUAUGCGCGUCCUUCGCAAAAAAAAGAGAAAGAAAAAGAAAAGUCUUUGUCUUUCACUCAAUCUGCCUUUUUUCAUUUUUGUACACAGACACAAUAAAGCAAGACAAGCAAUGCAGAUAGAGUUUAGGCAUCGUUUCUCGCUCAUUUUGUCUGCAGAAAGGCUGUAUAGUGCGACCGCCCCUGACACAGCUGCACAAUCCUUUGCAAGCCUUUGGUUCAGUAUAUUUCACACAGGACAUAAUGAGCCUGCAGAAUAACCAGAGGACGAUAUUUUAACACUUUUGAGUUUUCCUUGUUAAUUAAAAAUGACGCCAAAGUAAAUAUUUACAGUUCAGGCGCAGUGAUUCGCAUUUCAGCAACAACUUUAAAACUCAUAUACACAAUGCUCAUCAUACAACUGCUUUAAAAGUGCUGCAACUUUUCUAUACCUGCAAAGCAACACAACUUAACAACAAUUUCUUUCCUCAAAAUUUAUGUAAAAUGAGCAUCUGCAUCUUGUUCAGCUAACCAAAGAUGCAUAGGCAGGAAAACUUGUACUGUCAGUGUGCUUUUAGGCAGAAAAAAUAUAUAAAAUCAUAGUCUUUCACUCAAUCUGCCUUUUUUCAUUUUUGUACAUAGACACAAUAAAGCAAAACAAGCAAUGCAGAUAGAGCUUUGGCGUCAUUUCCUGCUCAUUUUGUCUGCAUGAAGGCUGUAAAGUGCGACCGCCCCUGACACAGCUGCAUGAUCCUUUGGUCCAGUAUAUUUCACAUGAGACAUAAUGAGCCUGCAGAAUAACCAGAGAACGAUACUUUAACACCUUUGAACCCCGAAGUUAUCCUUUUUAAUUAAAAAUGACGCCAAAGUAAGUAUUUACAGUUAAGACGCAGUGUUUUGCAUUAUUUCUAAAACACAAAUACACAAUGCUCAUCAUAAAACUGCUUUAAAAAUUCUUCUACUUUUACAAAAACUUGCAAAGCACAACUUAUUGACAAUCUCUUUUCUCAAAGUGUAUUUAAAAUGUGCAUCAUGUACCUUGUUCAGCUACCAAAGAUGCAUAUUAGUCAGACCUGGCAGGAAACUCGUACUGUUAGCGUGCUUUCAGGCAGAAAAAAAAACCUGCACACUUCCUGCUUAAAUUCACAAAACAUGCUCAUAAACAACUUCUAUGCAAAAGCCUGCAAGAUAUUAACACCAGGGAGUAAAAUGUUGGUGCUUUUAGGUGUAAAAGUCAUGUAAGAGCAUCAGUGUUUUUUAAAACGUAUAUUUUUAAAACCUUUUUCUGCUCUAAAAUAUCUGGGUAUGCAUCCGGAGCAAAUUGUUCCUGAUCUGUCUGCCUGGCUGCUUCACAACUUUAGCUUUGAUUGAAAGAGUUGAGCCAUCACUACAGCUGCAGAGACGAUCCUUAAAAAGUCCUGAAUAUUUGUGACCAAUCACACAUGGAGGAAGAUAAUUUAGUGUCUGCAAACCCGUCAGUUCUUAAACAUAUCAUUUUAAGGCUUAAACAGACCCAAAAGGCGUAUCACUGGUGCACACAACUCUCUGCAUCGACAAGAUUAUUAUGUCUAUGUAAGUUAAGGAUCAGUGAAAUUCAUGAGUUUAACAGGAAAUCUGCCAGUUUCAGGCAUCUUAUGUUGUUAAAAACAUCAUUAUUCAUGUAAAACAUACUUUGCGUGAAGCCUCAGAAACUUGUGUGGUCCUAGUGUGUGUGGUCCGCUUGUGUUUGUGCGUGUGUGUGAGCCCGCAGGGUGUAACAUCUAAGUGCAGGGAUCCCAGGGAGCGGGUUCCUAGAGGUGUAGCAGCAGUUUGAUCUUUCCAUAUUAGCCGUAUUCCCCGCUAUGCCGGCCUCAUUACUUUAGCCAGUUCAGCAACACCGAGGCUCCCACUCUGCACCGAGUCGUGUCGGCCACCUUCAACUAACACACUCCUCUCACUCCCGCAGACAACCUUCGCUUUCUUCUGUUUCCUCUUUCAUCCCUCAUUCACUCUCUGUAUCUGCCUGUGUGUCCCAGCUGUGUUUCUGACCCCGGCUUUCAUUUAGACAAGACACGGAGCGGCACAGAGGUGGAGGUGGCAUCUGCUUGCCUCUAAUAGGGAUGUGCUAAUGAUUAACAUUUACCGGGGCAGGUCCAGUCACCCCCCCACCCGACUGAAAAAUAGAAAGAAACAGAGGGAGAACAUUUGUCAGUUUGUCAAGAAUGAGAAGACACGACUACACGCUGAGGCGGGAAGUCACUGACUGUCCUUUAAGGUAGUUUUUGGAGUUUUAAACGGUCAUGAAAACAAACAGAAGUUAAAACUACAGCUUUUAUGUGACAAAAAAAGAACAUGAGGGGAUUUGACUGUUUUAUUUUGUAUUUUUUAAUGCUUACUAUGAAAAAUAUUUACAACCUCAAUUUAACAGAAUGUUGAUUAAAAACAGAUUUGGGUGAUUUCAUUUAAACACGUAUUACAUGUUUAAACUGAAAACAUGUUUUUGUUCUUGGAAAAAUAUGCAAAUUUUACAUUUAAUGCCAACAAAAUGUUUGGAAAAGUUGAAAAAAACUAAAAAUGUCUAAUUUACAAAAAAAGGUCAAUUUCUAAGAGAUUAUUUACAUGACUGGCUGAGUCAGAAGUAAGUAUGGUAAGAGGUUUGUCCUUCUGUGAGAGACUGUGUGGGCAAAGAGUUCAACAAUUUCAGAUGAAGGUUCCUGUGUGUAAAACUGCAGAGAAGUUGAAGAUAUAUCGUUCCAGUACAUAUCCUUGACAAUUUUAGAGAGUUUCCUCGGCCCCUCAAGAAACUCUGUAUUUAAAAAAACAUGGCUUUGUAGUGGAAAUCUCUGCAUGUGCUUAAAAUAUUAUACAAAAUUCAUAUGAAAACAGUUUGUAUGACAUGCUGGUUCAAUCUGAAAAAAUAAGGUUCCAGAAGUGACUCCUCUUGGCUCUGAUGGAAAAUUGUCUUCUGGUCCGGUGAAUAAAAAUCAAGGUUCCUUUUCGGAAUCAUGGACGCUGCAUCCUCCAAUCUAAACAGGAGAGGAACCACACGUAUGCACAUGUUAAAAGCUAGAGCCCCUGAUGGUAUAGAGGUUUUGGAGCAAUAUGUGCUGCGAUCUAGAUGAAAUCUUCUUGAGGGAAGACCUUCAUAUUUCAGCAAGGAGAGACAAAUGAGAGUUUCAGCAAUUCAGAAACGUGUUGCAGAAGUGCAUGUUUACUUCUUGACUGUGAGGGCGCUGUAGAACCUGUUAUUUUUUUUUUUUUUUGCUUUACUUCAGUAGAAGUACUACAUCAGAACUUGAAAUACAAGAAUCCGUACUUGACCAUGAACUAAGACUUUGUGUACUUUUGCACUUUUUGGCACAUGCUGUGUUUGCAGAACUUGGAGGAAAAAAAAAACAAAACAGGCAUUACCCACACACUUCUAAUGUGACAGCAUGUUUGUCUGAUUACAUAUUUGUUCUCGAACUCAUCAGCUCUGCAGUUUUCUUUUUAUGAGGAGUCCUUAACCCGAAUGAUUGAUUCUAAUGAGACAUUUUGAUCGGCUUCUUCACGAGCACGCACGAUUAAUUCAGAUUUGAUUAAACUUUAAUGAUGCCCAUGGGGAACUGGACUGUUGCUAUUUGCACACAGUGAGACUGAAUGUGAUUUAAUAAGAGUUGCACAAACAAAUGCCAGACCCAGACAUUGUAAAGCACUUAUGCGUGAGUAAAUUAGGACUGUUGUGUUUAUUUCAUCGCUGAUUAGCAUAACAGCUAUAUUCUUGAUCAAUCAUUUGGGAUCAACUUGGAUAACGUCAAUCAUGACAGAGGAAGGGUGCGCUUACAAAUUAACCUCUUUCUGUCCAACCGUGAAGAUAUAGCAGCGCCAUGGCACUCAGUAUGACUUUAUUUACAAUGAGACUAUAUCAUUCUGGAGUAAAAGUCCCCUGACCAAACUUCUUGGAAGGCACCAAAGAAGAAGACAUUUAUAGGGACCUGACAAAUACAAGGAGCCAUUUUGUUUGACUUUCAUUUUUAAGGUGCAGUUUUGUUAUUUGCCCAACCUGUGACCCCUGUCCUUUAGUUCUUAGUUCUUGGGAAACGUCAAAUCCAUCAAUUUACUUUCGAUGUAAGUGCUCUUGUAUACAAGACACAGUCUUUUUUGGAGGUUUGUCAAAGGAGGAAUUGUGCAAACUAUGUUCCAGCAUGGGAACGUGCAUUUUGUUCAACAAUGUGCAGUUUGUAUGCGGAUGUGUAGCUCUCGCAGUAUCAUUUGUUAUCAGCGAACUCGUAGAUACCCAUGCGGUAGUGGAGCACCAUUGUCUUAAAUUGAGGAUUCUGUCCAACUGAGCCAGCAACAGCAUAUUGCUGUUUUUUUUCCCCCUAAAUUCAUGAUUAUGACCUGUGAUGUGAAAAAAAGCAUUAAAAGUGAUGCUAAAUUGGUUUGUUUUGCUUUGUUUCCAGCAUUCUUUGAAUUCUAAGAGCCCCACCUCUAAAACAGAAAUAGCUCUGUAGUGGAAAUCACUGCAUAGGCUCAGAAUUGCUCCCAAAAAUGAUUGUCUGUGAACACAGUUUGUUGCUGUUUUCAUAAAUGCAGGUUUAAAGUGUACUUUUGUAUAAACAUGAUACAGAAAUGACACGAAGAUGAAGCUGGACUGAGGUGAAGUGGAAAGCUUUCAUGUGGUUUGAUGAAUCAAAAUCUGACAUUCUCCACAACCCCUUCUUGUACCUUUCUUUCUGAAUCGCAUUUUGUUCAGCAAUGUGCAGUUUAUAUGCGGAUGUGUAGCUCUCCCGGUAUAAUUAUGACUCUUGGUUGGAAAUUCUUGGUCAAACCCAGAAAUGGAUCGCAGUUCUUGCUCGGUAAAUGAUUUGAAUGAUUGACUUUCUGUCCAUUAACACCAGAGGGAGUUUCUUUUUUCCCAGAGACUUCUUUUAAAGACGUCCAUAUAUUAGCUCAAAUCAAAUAAUAUUGACAUCCUCAUUCUAAAUAGGAUUGUGUAAAACUCCUUCUCAUUUCCUCUGACAAUAUGCCAAUUUAUCCACCUUCGAAUCACUCCGUCCGUCCAAUCUAUCCGUCAAUUUAUGUCUCUCCUGCUCACGUACAUGUCAGUUCUUUCGUUUAGCUGUCAAUCACCCAGCCAGUCGACGCAUCCACCUCAGCACCCGUCCAUCCAUCAACCCUCCUUUUGUCUAUACAUCAUUCUCCCCCCCACCUCAGCUGUAUGGUUGUAUUAAUCCCACAUGGACUCCUCUGUCAGGCCCAAUCCAGGAGCUAAUGCAUGUGACUAAUGAGCACUAAUGCUUAUCCGCUGAUACAACAAAUGGCAUCAGAUAGCUGGAGUAUUCUAAUAGCGGGAUGUGAUUAUACGGAUGAGUGGCUAUCAGAGCCUCUGUCACUUCUCUAUUCUCCCUCUUCUUCCUAUCAGGCGGGGGGAGAAGUAGGGUUUCCAUUUUGUUCCGUUUUAUUACCUCUAGCCCGUCGUUUUAAGCAGCAGACCGCGGAUGACAGAAAAGACGCUUCUUUGGCCAAGAAAAAAAAGUGGACAGACAGAAGAGGAGAUUUCAGGAAAAGUUGAAUAUAAACUCUUCCUGGAUGUGAGGUGGAGACAGUGUGGAGGAAGGAGAGGAAAAAGGAGACAGAGUAAUUGAAAUAUGAGAGCGCCACUGCAGCAGCACUGAGCCCAUGUGUCCAUCAGCGGCUGCCUCACGGCGGGGAGGAGAGUGCUACGUGUGUGUUUGUGUGUUAGCCGCACCGGCGGAGAGAGGAGAGGCCACAUGCCCCGGUUGUUCCAGUGUGAGAGCAAGAUUGACAGCAGAGGUAGGGGUGCACUUGGUGCUCUGCCAGGCGGCGUACACACAGGAACACACACACAGACACACUCGCUGCCUGGCUCUCCAUAACUUGUGGCAAGUGCUUAUGUGUGACAGGUUGUCGGGGAAACAUUUCCUGUGUUAGGUUUAUGCACUGCGAUAAGGUCGGCCGAGUAAAAGACCUUCAGUAUUGAGUGUAAGCCUCUGGGCGGCUGCAGAGGAAAAAGGCACAGCUGGACUUGUAUUUUUAUGCCAAUAUAGAUGCUGAGAGGGAGCGAAAUCUCGGCCCGAGCCGGACCUGGCCUGAUUCUAUCAGGCCUGAAGCUUGGCAGAAGAUGGACAGCUGACAUGCUUGUUUUUUUUUGCCUGAAACUGGCCUGAAUCUGCGCUAUGAAGUCCAAACAUGUCUUCUCCCGGCACACACACAUUGCUAACUCUGCAGUGGCAACUACACAGAUGUGAGGAUGCUGUUUGUGCUUUUUCACCACUGACCCUCAGUACAGGAGCACCACAGGGCAGUGUCCUUAGCUCCCUCCUGCGUGACUCAGCAGUGGUGGGACUGAUCUCCAGUAGGGAGGAGAUAGUCCAGGAUGUGACAACUUCAGAACAACAGAACUGAGAUACUGUAUUUUCAUGCACUGUGAAGCAGUGAUUUAGUUAAGCAUUGAUUGUUUGUUUGUGUGUUUGUUUUUUUUGCUAGUGUGUGCUCUGGGCCCGGGCUGCCUUACAUGAAUGAACUUCUAGUUUAGACAUUACAGUCAGGCAGUCUUGUAGACUGCUCAGGAGUCCUGUUACCUGGCCAAUCAGGUAGUGACACAGUGUACCGUAAUGCUCCGAAUAUCCAUUGAGCGGAGCGGCUUCUUUGCUUACCAAAGUCGUACUUAUAUAUUUUGACAGAUUUUUGAGCGCACUGUACCACAUAAAAUCAGUUGGUAAGCACAACAAGUAAUCAUACAUAAGGCACACUGUCAAUUUUUGAGAAAAUUUAAGGAUUUUAAGUGCACCGUUUACUCUGAAAAAUACGGUAAUCACCGCUCAUUGAUUGUCUUCAAGACAAAGAAGCUCAUUAUGGAGCACAAGUAAAGGAGAAGGACUAAUCAACCCAGGUCUAUGUUCUGAGCAUCAUUUCAGGAAGAGAACUAUUUGUCCAUCUUUUAACUGUUAACUAUGGUACUUUAACUAAACCACAGAAUAAACCCUCUGAGGGUGAGUGUGUUGAAUCAGUUUUUCAACACUUUUGUCUUUCGUUGUUUUGUUUCUUUCCAUCUAUGACCAAUAAAAAGCAAUGAAGCUAGCCUGGCUGGGCCAUCUAGUUGCGUGAAUCACUUGCCGUUGCUUCCCUAAGGAACGGCAAGUGAUUCACGCAACUGGAUGGCCCAGCCAGGCUACAAUGACGCCGCUCUUGCUCCAUCAUGGAGAUAAAGGCAGAUAAAAGCACCAUAACUAGCAUGAAUGAAACAGAGAUGGUGCACUUUUGAGGCAUUUUCUGCACAUCAGUGCAAGGCUUGCAGAUGCCUCCUCUGCAGGGAAGCAGUGAAGUCUGGCAGUGCUGAGGCCAAUCAGUCAUGGUGAACAUAUGCCAGCUGAGUGUUUAUAAUCAUAGGCCUCAUCUCCAUGCCCGUCAGGUCUUCCGUGGCCCUGAUCACAGGAUCCCUGCUAUGGGGGUGAGGCCUAGAGGCCACGCUUAAAGACCAAAAUCCUUUACAGGAUCCGGUAAUUAGCCAGCACAGUUCUGCAGCCAUGCUCUUUGCUUUGAUCCGCACACUGAUCAAUGGCAACAUCGCAGUGGCUUGAUAACUAAUUACUACCUCAAUAUGUGUGCGUGCUUUGAACACACUGCUUCCCACAUCCUUUUAAUAUGUUUUUUUUUUUCCUCCAUAAACCUCAUGGACACAGCUUUUAGUGUUAAAUCCUGCCCCAAAAUAAACUCGACAAUGUUCACUGCUUUCAUGAAGAAACCAUACAAGUGAGCAUGUCAGAUUUAUCCUGUGAAAUCUACCAUCGCUCCUGCAGUGUUCACACUCAACAAUCGUCUCAUGAUUUGAUAUGAACAGAGUUCGCAGCCUUUUCUUGGAGAUAAUUCAAACACUGUUGGGAGAAUAUCUUCAUCUACACAUAAGCUACAUUGAUACAGGAGGGCAGUGUUGUCCUGCCAUUACCAGAUACAAGUAUCUGGUGAGAAUUGCAUUGACUCUGCUGUAUAUGGUUUAACUCUUUCAUGGCCAACUGUCUAAUGCAAUGGACAAAACACUAACUUCAACUUCAAUUCUCUCUAAAUUCACCUCCAAAAUACUCCAUCUGUCUUUAGGUACCCCUCGUGUUUUUUUUAGGUUUUGAAAUCCGUUAUCUGGUCUUAUGCUGCUUUCCAGAUAUACUCGGAAGCCGGAAUUUCUGAGCUUCGAGUUGGAAAAUUCAUCUGGAACACCCCCCUGAAGUUGGAUUUCCAACUUGUAAAGUGGGACAAUCCUCGCCAACCCUGACUUGACGACAACAUCAUGAUCCCAGAUGGC
This is a non-coding RNA of Xyrichtys novacula (pearly razorfish), 52358 nucleotides long. NCBI's taxonomy places the organism in Eukaryota, Metazoa, Chordata, Actinopteri, Labriformes, Labridae. The record is from the annotation of a GenBank genome assembly.